CCGAAGAUUCCGAAAAUCUUUUGGCCAACAUUUGCUGCGUCGUGUAGGAUGCCUGCUGCUGUAUCUAUCGCACUAUGUAUGAUAUCAAAAGUAAGACUCUUAGCCUUAGCCUUAGACGGUUUAGGCUUGUCGGUAUUUACUGUUGUCGUCAUAUGCUGACCACCAAAUUGUUCUUUCUCUUUUUCAAUGAGACCCCCACUGUGGCACGAAUCUGAUAGGAUUGUGAAGCUUGCUCCUUCUGGUAGCCGGUUAACUAAACGUCUGAAGUCCACAUCUGCAGAAACCAUGUAUAUAUAGGGUAUGAAUAUAUGUUGCUAAAAUAAAUAUAUAAAUUCAAACAAAAACCUACCGGUGACAAGAUUUAAAUCACAAGCCACGAUUGCUUCAUCUUGCUUGAAAGGCUGGCCAGGUUGAAAGAUUGGAAUGCGCGUUCCAUGUCCACUGAAGUAGAAAAAUAGGAUAUCUCCUGCUUUAGCCUUGUUCACCAUUCUAUUAAGUGCAUCCUUAAUGUUUGCACCCGUAGGCAGAACCGGCGACCCUGGCGCAUCGGUGAGGACAUUAACAUCGCUUUCCUUAAACCCAAUGUUCAGGAGGACACCACUUAUGGCGUUCACAUCAUUGAUGCAUCCAUGCAAGCUGAAUUGGGUCUUGGGGUAGUUGCAUCCCACCAGAACUGCUCUCUUCGUACCCUUACUCAUCUUGCUUCGCUAAUUUGACUAUUUUGUGUUGCUUGUACCGUUGAAUUAAUGUGCUUCCACUGUCUCACAAAGAACCUAUAUAUAUACACACUAAUUUACAGCACGUGUACUGACCAUAAAGAUGACGACAUGUAGGUAGGUAGGUAGGUAGGCAGGUACAACACUUUUGUUUGUCUUUUGUAUUUUGGAAAAUGCAUGCGAAAUCCAUGCAUAUGCAAACAUUUUGUGCAAGGAACUUGCAUAUCAGUACUGCACAAAAGAGUGACUCUGGAGUUAUGGAAUUAUUUGAUAAUAUUGAAUAUGAAAUAAAUUAAAAUAAAAGAGUGGGUGAUUAAUCCGAAUUGGGAGGAGGACAGGUGUUGUGAUGGACAAAGUGUAAGACAAGGUGGUUUCCUACUGAAGCAAUAAAGCUCUAGCAAAAGGCAGCUAGGUAUUCCUUUUUCAGACAGAGACGAUAAAGGAUAGAAAAUAUAGGGUGGUGGUCGAAGAUAAAUGAUUAUAACAGCACUGAUAUGAUCUGCUUCGCCUUCGUCCACCACCUCAUCUUUAUGUUUUUAUCUUGGUCGUGACUCACGUUGGCCGUCGUCUGCAAGUGCUGUCGGUCCUACUAUCGUGAUUGUGUUACCUGGCUUCUGAUUUCUAUGUAUUAGGGUCUAUUUGAAUGUGAGGUUGGUGUAGGGGUGAGGUUACAAAAUUGAUUUUAAGGGUUAAAAGUUAAAUUAUGUAUCUAUAUAGAUUAAAGAAUUGUUAAAUCAAAAUUUUAUAUUUUUUUGGAAUAAAUUGUAAUUAUACAAAGUUUAACUUAUAAUUUUAUUGAUUUUAGCGAGAUUUAAAUAAUAGUUUUCUAUUUUAGUGGUAUAAAGAGUAAAUUUUAUUUUAAGGGCACAAUUAGACUUGAUUAUGAGUUUGGUCACCCUCCAAGCCUAAUGGCCCUCUUGAAAAAUGAGAGUUUGGGCAAAAUAUAGGUCCGAAAAAUAGGCUUGGACAAAAAAUAAUGCCUAUUUUCCAAAUGGGCCGAGCCUCAGGUAAGAUUUUUUUGCUCGGGUCCAACCUGACUUGAAUUUGCUUAAAAAAUUUUCCUUCCUAUUGUUAAUUGUUGUUUUGCUAUUAUAUUGUUACUUAUUUGUUAUUACUGUUUGGAUAUUGUAUAACUAUUGUUUUAUUGUUAAUUUUGUUACUAUUUUAGAGACAUUUGCUUGCUAAGUUACAACUAUCUUAAUGUUAUUUAAGUAUAAACACUUUUUUUAAUGUAUUUUCAAUUUGUUGGGAAACAUUUAUUUUAAUAUUUUUAAUGUAUUUGAUGUAUUAUAUUUUUUAAAAUAAUAAAUAGUAAAAAAUAUUUUAAUAUAGGCAGGUCGGGCCAUGCUCAAGUUUGGCAUUGUUUUAUCUAGGUCGGGCUUGAACAAAGUUUUAGGCCCAUUUUUGGUUCGGGCAGGGCCUGAGCCUAGAAAAUAGGCCUAAAAUCCCAACUCGAUUGAGCCCAUGAUCUAGUCUAGCCACGACCCCUACCUGCUCUGGUCACCGCCUUUGGAGACAAGAUUAAUUCUUGUGAGAUUGAAAAAAGCGAUGGCGAUAAGACUAAUUACUAUAGCAGUGAGAUUAGUUACUACGGUGAUGAUAUUAAAAUUAGUGGUGAGAUGUGUGUUAGGAUUCAAACAAAGCAAUGGCAAAAAGAUAGAUUUUGGAUUUAUAGUAAGAAAGCAAAAUGACUAUUAUGGACAAAGUAGUUUACACCUUUUCGUAUAUUUUUCUAUGAUUAUUAUUUUAAUGAUAAAAACGUCAUAUUUAAUAUUUUAUUUAAAUAAAUCGUGCAUAUUACUUAACAUAAAUUUAAAAUUUCUAACUAUUUGUUUUAUUUAAGAAUACUUUUAAUUGUUGAAUAAAUAUUAAUAUAUAUAACAUUUUAGAUCGCUAUGACAAAAAUAUCGAAUCAUUUUAAAAUUUUGCAUGUAUGAAAAGUACAAUAAUAUUGAUAAAUUUAAAGGUUGGUGUCACAUCUCAAAAACAGGAUUAAGAAAAAUUGGAUUAGUGAAACCAAUAAUGGUCUUGUUCUGUUUUGAUUUGGGAUUGUGAAAAUUAUAUUAAGUGAAUUAAUUUAACUUAAUGAAUAAGUAAUUUAUUUGUGUGUUGAGGUCUUGUGCUCAAAUUCUUUUCUUUAAAUUUUUAUUAAUUUUUGUUUCAACCUUUGAUUUUGAACACCUAACUUAUAUGUUAUUUUUGCUGAACUAAUAAUAAGGAUGAGCCUGGGGUUCAUCGGCAAGGUUUCAACAUAUGGUCCUGUACUGUUUGAAUAUUGUAUCAACAAAGUUGAAUUUUUUUUUGUUUUAUUUUAAACUUUGGGAAAUUUUCUUAGGGUUAAUUAAUAGAUUUAGUGGUUGGUUUUAAUAAUAAUAAUAAUAAUAUUGAGAUUUUGGGCCAGUUCUUUAUUGUUUUUGAAAAUUACUUUUGAAAAGUAUUGUGGAGAAGUGCUUUUGAAAAUUUUGAGUGUUUAGUAUUGCUGUCAAAAAAUACUUUUGAAAAAUAAAAUGUCCAUUUUAGACAUGAUAUUAUAAAGUAACAAAUAUGUAUUUAAAUAAUGUUCAAAUUAAAUAAUAUUAUGAUAUUUUAGCAAAAAUAUAAUAAAUAAUUUAUUGUUAAUAUUUUAAUAUAUAAUAUUAAUUUUAAAUAUUUCUAAGUAAUUAAUAUUAAUUAUUUAUUAAAUUUAAUUAGAAUGUAUAAACUAUAUUUAAAUAUUUAAAUAUAAUAAUUAAAUAUUUGUAAUUAGACAUAUUAUUUUAAAUUUUUUUAUUUUUAACUAGUACUUUUAACACAUUUGUAUUAUUUUUAUUUUAAAAUGUAUUUGAAUAUAUAACUCAUAUUAGAUAUUAACAUAACAUAGAAAAUAUAAACCUAACAAAUUAAAAUAUUACAUAUAUUUAGAUUAAAGUUUUAAAAAGGGAUAAUAUUUAUAUACCAAAUAUAAAUACUAAAAAUUUUACAAUAGCAUUUACAAUUUAAAGUGAAUUCAUUAAACUAGAAGCUAUAACAUCUCUUGUUAAUUUCAUUUCAAAACCACUUGUAUUGUUUGAUUCACCGUCAUCAUCAUCACUUUCUCGACCAUGUGCAUUUUUUGAAUCAAUAAUAUUCUCAUAUGCCCAGUUAAUAUCUUGAUAUUUAAUCCAGGGAAUUGUUUGAAGGCGCAAGGAGUGCCUACAGUCCAUCAGACAAAAAAUUUCAAAAUUUAAUCCAGUGAUCAAUCUAAUAUCACCAAAAAGAUAAUGAAAAACCAAUAGACAAUAAUUUCUCAAUACAUACAAUAAUUUCAUAUUUAUAAAUAAUUUCUCAACGGUAGAUUUAGUGGUUGGUUUUAAUAAUAAUAAUAAUAAUAAUAAUAAUAAUAAUAAUAAUAAUAUAUUAGAUAUUGAGAUUUUGGGCCAGUUCUUCAUUAUUUUUGAAAAGUGCUUUUGAAAAGUGUUCUGGAGAAGUGCUUUUGAAAAAUUUGAGUGUUUGGUAUUGGUAUUACUGUCAAAAAAUAACACAAAAAAGAUAAUGAAAAAUCAAUAGACAAUAAUUUCUCAAUACAUACAAAUAGACGGUUGACUCCAGAAUAAAGUUAUCUCAAGGAGUCACAUACUUUUGCUACAAUAUCAGCACCAAUCUGUUCAUCUAAGUCUUCCAUUGAAUUCUUUAUUGUGUGAAUCUACUCUGACAAGUGUAUAUAAGUUGCACCACCACCAGGUACUAUCCCUUCAUCCAUGGCAGCACAUGCAACAUUCUUUGCAUCUUCAAUUCUUAGUUUACGGUCUUCAAGUUCCAUCUCAGUAUGCACUCCUACCUACAGUUGUGAUGCAAAGUUCUUAACAAUUUGAAGCAGAAAAAGAUGUGGGUAUGGUAAAACAUUGAGUUAUGCAUUUCAAUUUCAGUAUACACUGCGUCAUGAUUGCAAACCUUAAUGACUGCCACACCACCAGGGAGUUUAGCAAUUCUUUAUGAGAGCCUUUUUGACAAGUAUGUCUUGAGAGUUAACCAAGUCAAACUAGACUUGUUAUCACUCCUAUUCUUUAGGAUCUUAUUCUACUUAAAAUUCAAAUUCAAAUUGUGAAUAGCUGUAGAUAACACUCUGAUGUAAUCUUGUAUAUAUUUGCUAUCAAUAGUCGAAUACAAUUGAGCUGAAUUUACAAACCAAAAUCACUAUCUUUCAUGGUAUCAGACUGCCAGUAAAAAGGUUUCAAUCACCGCCUCCUCUCCUUUUUUUUUUCCUCAUGGCCAAUUCGACUGUUUCCUCUCCACCUUUCAUGCCAAAUCAAAUCACCAUCAAGCUUACUCCCUCUAAUUACCUCCUGUGGAAAACACAAAUGACCCCUCUCUUAUAUAGCCAAAAACUCAUGCAUCAUGUCGACGGCACAGCAGCUCCUCCCAAGACCAUUGACAAUGCUCCUAACCCGGCCUAUGAGCCCUGGUUUCUUAAGGACCAAAUGGUUAUUAGCUGGAUCCUUGGCUCGUUGUCUGAGUCAGUGCUAUCUCAGGUAGUCGGAGCCAUUACCGCAUUCGCAGCUUGGACAAAGCUGCAUCAAACUUUUGCUUCCGAAUCUCGGGCUCAAAUCUGGACCCUUAAAGGCUCUCUUCAUGCCUUAUCUUGUGGCGAUGAUUCAAUCGUCAUAUACAUGGAUCGUGUGAAAUGGAUUUUUGAUCAACUCGGGGCUCUAAAUGCGGCUAUUUUUGAAGACGAUCUUGUCGAUCAUAUUUUACGAGGACUUGGUACCGAUUAUCGACCAUUCGUUCGCAAUCUAGAGGCAAAACUACAGUCAACAUCCUUUGAUGAUUUGUUUGGCUUAUUACUUUCUGAGGAAUUACAAUUGAAAGCUGUUCAAGAGCCUCUUCAUCUUACUGCCGUUGCCCACUUUGUCGGUCGGCAGCCUUCUGCUUUCGCUAAUCGUGGACGGGGUCAUAAUAGUAAGCACAAUGGCAAUUAUUCCAGUCGUGGCCGAGCUGCCUCCCCGCCCAAGGAUCCAACAUGUUACAACUGCAAGGGACGUGGCCACACAAGUCGUCAGUGUCCUAGCCCAAGAUAUGCCGAGUCCUACCCCAAACCCUCAGCAAACUAUAGCUUGUCUCCUUAAACAAAUCCCAAGCCAUGGAUCGUUGAUACCGGUGCCACUCAUCAUUUGACAUCUGAAUUGGGAAACCUGGGCAUUCAUUCUGAGUACACUAGUUCCGAUGAAGUCACUUUCACCAAUGGUAAAACCUUACCUAUCUCUCAUGUUGGCUCGUCUGUCUUAACUCUUAAUUCUCAUCCUUUCAAAUUGUCUAAUAUUCUUUAUGUUCCUGAGGCUAACCUAAAUUUAUUGUCUGCUCCUCAGUUUACACUCACUAAUGAUGUCUCUGUUGAAUUUUUCCAUGAUUAUUUUGUGGUUAAGGAUCGACGGACGAAGCAAAAUCUGCAUAGAGGGUACAUCGAGAAUGGUUUAUAUCGCCUAGCCACUGAUCCAGUAUCUCCUGCUUGUCAUUCAGUUUCGUUGUCUACAUGGCAUGCUAGACUAAGCCAUGCUUGCUCAAACACUGUCAAUAAAGUUCUUAGUUUCAAUAAAUUGUCUGCUUCUAAUAAGCAUGAUUCAUCUCUUUGUGAAACUUGCUGUGUUAGUAAAUCACACAAAUUGUCUUUUUCGGAUUCUACUUAUGAAGCAAAGCAACCGUUAGAGUUAGUUUGUUCAAAUUUGUGGGGUCCUUCUCCAAUUGCUUCUAGUGAUGGUUUUCUAUAUUAUGUGGUGUUUUUUUAUCAUUAUAACAAAUAUACUUGGAUCUAUUUUCUUCUUCGUAAAUCGGAUGUUUAUAAUUGUUUCAUUCAAUUUCAUGCUAUUGUUGAGAAAUACUUUGGUUUACCUAUUAAGCAGUUCCAAUCCGAUUGGGGUGAGGAAUUCCAAGCCCUUGAAAAAUAUUUGGCCUCUGAAGCUAUAAUCCAACGCAGCUCUUGUCCCCAUACCCUUGAACAAAAUGGCUGCGCUGAAAGAAAACACCGUCAUAUAACCGAAACUGGUCGCGCCUUGUUACAUCAUGCCUCUGUCCCUCCCAAAUUUUGGGAUCAUGCCUUUGUUGUUGCUGUAUACACUAUCAACCGUCUCCCAACUCCAAAAUUACACCAUAAAUCACCCUACCAAGCCCUUUUUCAUCGUGACCCUGAUUACAAGUCAUUGAGAAUUUUCGGUUGUUGUUGCUAUCCCUGGUUGCGUCCAUACACCAAAAAUAAGCUUGAGCCUAGGUCUGCCAAAUGUGUUUUUCUUGGUUACAGUGUUCUUCACAAAGGUUAUAAAUGUUUAUCUUUGUCCACCAAUAAAGUGUUUUACUCACGCCAUGUUAUUUUUGAUGAACAGGUUUUUUCAUUCAAGUCAAGUGAUGGGCACGUAUCGGUUCUCGGUCCUCCACCUUCCCCGACAACCAUUUUUUCUCUUGGCCAUCGCUCCGAUUCUAAUCCAUUACCUGCCGUCCCACUACCUACAGCCCUAUGCCCCAACCAGCAGCUCCCUACUGUCCCAAGUACCCCCCACCGACUGCCGAUCAAUCUCUUGCCAUCACUACCGUGUCCUCCCAACCUGCUCCCAUUGUUCCCAAUGACCCUAUCACAUUCCCGAUAGGUUCUAGCAGUCCCAAUGCUUCUCCUACCACUGCUCAGGCACCUACCGUGCGUCAUUCAAUGACUUUACGCUCCCAUACUGGCUCACUUAAAUCAAAGGUUUUUCAUGCUGCUGCGUCCACUACACUGUCAGCCCCUUCGUCAUACAUUGAAGCAGCAAAACAGUAAGUAUGGCGUGCUGCAAUGGGAGAAGAAAUUGAUGCUCUUCUAUCAAACAGCACAUGGGAUCUUGUUCCUCGUUCUCGAGUUUCGAAUAUCAUUGGUUACAAGUGGGUAUACCGUGUAAAAACAAAAGCGGAUGGUUCCUUCGAUAGAUGUCGUGCGCGGUUGGUUGCAAAAGGGCUUCAUCAAAGACCAGGCCUUGAUUACGUUGAGACUUUCAGCUCUGUAAUAAAGCCGGCCACCAUAAGGUUAAUUCUUUCCAUUGCCGUCAAUCGUCAUUAGCCCAUUCGGCAACUUGAUGUUUCGAAUGCCUUUCUUCACGGGAUUCUUGAUGAAACUGUUUUUAUGGAACAACCACAGGGAUUUGUUGAUCAUUCUAAACUUGAUUUUGUAUGUGCUCUAAAGAAAUCGUUAUAUGGUUUAAAGUAGGCGCCACGAGCUUGGUAUUUUUGCCUUUCGAAUGCACUACAACAGCUUGGUUUUCACAGUUCCAAGGCUGACAGUUCGCUGUUUAUAUAUUCAGGUAAUGACGAGUAUGCAUAUUGCUUGGUCUAUGUUGAUGAUUUGGUGUUGACAGGAUCAUCCUUUUCGUUGUUACAACGGUUUAUUGCUCAACUUGGGAAGGUUGUUGCGCUCAAGGAUUUAGGACCGCUAUCCUAUUUCUUGGGUGUUGAAGUUGCGUGGUUCUCGAGUGGCUUGCAGCUCACUCAAUCCAAAUAUAUCAAAGAUUUACUCCAUCGUGCGAAUAUACAAGAUGCAUCGUCGGUUUCGACUCCUUCAACGCCGCAAGCCGACCUCACCGGCACUACUUCUUCUACCUUUGAUGAUCCUAAGCUUUAUCGACAGCUUGUUGGGUCUCUUCAAUAUUUGGCACUCACUCGCCCCGACAUAACCAUGGCAGUAAACAAAGCUCUGCACAAUUUAUGCAUUCUCCUUGCCUCCAUCAUUGGCAAGCCGUGAAACGGAUCCUACGUUACCUUCGCGGCACAAUUGAUCAUGGUCUCAUGCUUCGCUCUUCUCGCCAAGCUUCACUUGUUGCUUUUUCGGAUGCUGAUUGGGGUGGCGACAAGCUUGAUCGAAAGAGCACUUCUGCAUAUGUUGUCUUUCUUGGCUCCAAUCCGAUCUCUUGGAUUUCUCGUAAGCAAAAGACUAUCGCUCGUUCAAGCACGGAUUCGAAAUAUCGAGCUUUAGCAUCAGCUGCUUCGGAGGUUUAUUGGCUUCAGUGCCUUCUUCGGGAACUCAAUUACAAGCUUCCAACAACGCUGGAAGUAUGGUGCGAUAACGUUUCCGCUACCUAUCUAGCUGCGAAUCCCGUUUUUCAUUCUCGUAGUAAGUACCUUGAGUUGGACUUUCAUUUUGUCCGAGACCAAGUACGCUAGAAAAAUCUUCUCGUCUCCUAUGUUCCGACCAUUGAUCAAAUAGCCGAUGUCUUGACGAAACCUUUAUCGACAACUCGGUUUCUUACACUUCGAGACAAACUGAUGGUGACUUCCCCCAUCCGUUUGUGGGGGGCUGUUGAGAGUUAACCAAGUCAAACUAGACUUGUUAUCACUCCUAUUCUUUAGGAUCUUAUUCUACUUAAAAUUCAAAUUCAAAUUGUGAAUAGCUGUAGAUAAAUUGAUUUUAUUAUUAUGAGAGUUAACCCGGUUUGUGUAAGGGUCAGGUUAGAAAAUUGAUUUUAAGGGUUGAAGUUAAAUUAUGUAUCUAUAUAGUACUUAGAAGUGUUAAAUCAAAAUUUUAUUAUUCUUUUUUGAAAUAAAUUGUAAUUAUACAAUGUUUAACAUAUAAUUUAAUAGAUUUGUCUAAAUAGUAAUUUUUUAUUUUAGACGGUAUAAAGAGUAAUUUUUAUUUGAAGGGGCUACGAUUAGACCUGAUUAUGGGUUGGGUUAUUCUUUCAAACUCGAAGACCUGCCCAAAAAGCGGGAUUGUUUAAGCAAAAAUAUAGAUUUGAAAAAUAGGCUUGGACAAAAAAUAAUGUUUGUUUUCCAAACAGGUUGGGUCUCAGUUAAUAUUUUUUGCUCAGACCCGACCCUGCUCGAAUUUGCUUAAAAAAAAUUUCCUGCUGCUUUGCUACAAUUUUGCUAUUAUAUUGCUACUAUUUUAUUGUUAAUGUUUGAAAAUCGUAUAAGUUUGUUUUACUAUUAAUUUUGCUAUUAUUUUAGAGGCAUUUUCUUGCUAAGUUGCAACUAUCUUAUUGUUAUUCAAGUAUAAUUUUUUUAAAUGUAUUUUCAAUUUGUUGAAAAAUAUUUAUUUUUAUUUUUGUAGUGUAUUUGAUAUAUUAUAUUUUUUAAAUAAAAAUAAUAUAAAAAAAAGUUUAAUACGGGUGGGCUGAACCAGGCAUAGGUUUGGCAUUUUCUUAUCUGGACUGGGCUUGAUCAAAAUUUUAAGCUCCUUUUUCAAGUCAAGUUAGGCCCAAGCCUAGAAAAUGGGCCUAAAUUCCCAACUCGACUUAGCCCAUGAUCAAUUCUAGCCACGUCCCUAUUUGCUCUGGUCACUACUAGCGAUGAGAUUAAUUUCAAUGAUAUUAAAAAUAGCGGUGACGAUGACAUUAAAUACUAUAAUGGUGAGAUUAGUUACUAUAGUGAUAAGAUUAAAAUCAGUAGUGAAAUGAUUUUGGGAUUCAAACACAACAAGGACAGUAAGAUAGAUUAUAGAUUUAUAGUAAAAAUGCAAAAUGACCAUUAUGGACAUUAAACUAAAGUAGCUUACACCCUUCCAUAUGCUUUUGUACAAGUAAUAUUUUAAUGAUAAAAACGUCAUAUUUAAUAUUUCAUUUAUAUAAAUCAUGCAUAUCUUUAACAUAAAUUAAAAUUUUCUAACUAUUUAUUUUAUGCAUGAAUACUUUUAAUUGUUUAAUAAAUGUUAAUAUAUACAAUAUUUUAGAUCGAUAUCAUAGAAGUAUAGAAUCAAUUUGAAAAUUUAAAUGCAUGAAAAGUGCAAUAAUAUCGAAAAAUAUAUGAAAGCGUAUAAAUUUAAUUUAGUUUCACACUGGUGUAAGCAGAUCCCUCCCCUUUUAAUGUGCAAAAUUAAUUAUAUCAUUUAAAUUUAUGCAUUUAAUAUUAUUUAUAAAUAUAUUUGUUUAUACACCUAACUAAUGUAAAUAAAAUAUUAAAUACGAUUUGAAGUAAUGAAAUAAAACAAAUUUUAUAAAUAAAAAUAUUAAAAUUGUUGAAAAAUAUGGAAAACGUUGAAUGGGAUUAAGUAAGCAUUUCCAAUCACUCUGUGAAUGCCUCGAGCUUCUGGAACCUGCACUCUAAAAUUCAGACUAAUACAAAAUGUUACAUGAAAGAAGUUAAAAUCAUGAAAUAAGUACUUUUCAAAAUUCAGUAUUUACACUUGCCCAAUAAUAUAAAUAUAUUCAGCAUUUAAUUUUCUGUGACAUACAUAAAAUUUUAAUAAUACAAAUUCAGUAUUUUUCUUGGGUUUAUCAAACGAAAACUGAUUAACAAGGAGAUGUUAAUUGAAGUAGAUAAAAUUCAUUCCUAACAUCACUUGAAGAAGGUUACAUGGCAUCUCAGAAAAUGAAGGGUAAGCAUUCUGAAAAGGUUAGUUUCUUCAGAUACUUUCAAAAUACAAAUUUCAGACCAUAUCAUUCUGUGUACACAUGAAAGGCAUCAAAGUAGCAGUUGAACUUACGGGGAUCUUUAGGGGAAAGAAAGGAGAGAGAAGACCACAGACAAUGAAAUCCAUACAAGUAAAAAAAUGCACAACAUACUCCAUGAUCCAUGAUUUUAUGAGAAGACUCUUUUGAGGAGAACUUCCUAGGUCGACUUAGAAUAUAUGAAUGACAGUCUUCUAUAGAACUUCCUAAAUACAGUCAGUUUUAAAAUUCAAAAAAAGAAAAAAAGAAAAACCUUGAUUAAUUGUCAGUUAUGUCCUUUUCAACUAGCUGGUUACAUACUGCAUAUGAAUGCUGACAAACAUUACUUGCGCCCAUCAGCUUAUGCGAGAUUCUCCAGUGUUGUAUGAAGAGGUUCCUUGAAAUGAUUCCCUAGCAAAAUGGCAAUACAGUGGCAAAGGUGAUAUUUCCGACAUCACCUAGGUUAUUUUUAUUUGAUUUAUCUGUGAAGUUAUGGUUCUUUCUUUCUAAUAGAUUAUCUAUCAAGUUGAUUCAAGUAAUUAAGCUUAUUGGCUAGAAAUAAACAAAGAAUCUUGGAUUUCUAAAUUCUUAAUAAGAUCAACUAUAUUUGUUGAAGGAUUCGGUGUAUGCUAAAGUUGCACCAAAAUCCACAGCCAAAUACUCAAAAACUCUGUUUGUAUAUACUAUAUUGUCAUUCAAAAACUGUCAGUCAAUUGCUCAAAAACAAACCUUCUGAAAGUAGUGUUUGAUAUCUUUCAGCAAGGUAUCAAUAGUCUCAGAAAUGGACAGACAUACUUCGGUGCCACUGAAAACAAAUAAAUAAGAUCAUAAUGUUUUGUAUAACCUAAGAUCAGAGAAAUGUUUAAGUAUGGCGCAUAUACCUGAACUUUGCAUCAUUCUUAGGAAUUGAAGGUAGCCUAGUCAGCCUUCUGGCAGAAACACUUCCUCUAAGAUUUAAGUGAUAAUGAUAUAUCUUACAGUCUACAGAUUUACCUUGCAUGACCUAAUCAUUUUUAAAAGCUUAUUUAUGCUUUUGAUGAACUCAUUUGAAAGAAAACCAGCCAAAACCAUACCGUUUCAACUUCAAAAUGACAUGAUUUCAAUGCAUAUUUUCCAAUUUAGAAAUAGCUUCCUAUUUUUCUGAAAGAUCGCGUCACAAAAAAUCACAGUUAAUAAUUCUAAUUAUAGUUACGCAAAAAUUAAAGGAAGAAUGAAAAGCAUUCACUUGAAACUCGAACGAUUGGAGGAGAGCUAUUGAGAACGACUGAUAGUCGGCAAAGAUUUUCGGAUAAACGGCAUCUUUGAAUAGCAAAAGAAAUUAACUGACAAUACGAAAAACGAAAGGAAAUUAAAGAAAAAAGGAGAUUAGAGUGGAUUAACAUAUUAAUAUUUAGUUUUUUCCAAACCUAAGAUUGCUUAAGGUAUCUAUUAUUUGGUCCGUAAAAAUAUAUUGUGAAAAUUUUAUGGACUAAACACCAUUGUAAAUCACAUAUUCCAGUUUCGGUAAGUAAAGUUAAAAAAAUUUUAAAAAAAUUCAGAAGAACUGAAACAUCAAUGAAACCCCAAUUUUCUAAUUACCCAACCAGCAUAAGCUAGAAUUCAGAAGAAAAGAGAAAAUAAAUUACAGCAGAUCUAGAAAUUAAAGAAAAACACAAAAAUAAAAAGCCAAUAAGAAAUUUUUUUUAAAAAAAAAAAAAAAAAGAAAUGAAGAAGAGCUGUCUUACCUGAGACAAUGUCGAUUGAGACUAAGAAAAGACUAAUAUUUUCUUCAAUGUGAGGAGCAGCAAAAAUAGAAAAACAAUGGACGAGAUUUUGGGGUUUUCAAGCAAUGAAAAGAUUGAGAAAAAAAGGGACGGGAUUUUGGGGUUUCAAUCAAAGAAAAGUCUUGAAAAGAAAAGGGAAAUGUUUUGGGGGGUUUCUAGCAAAGAAAAGAUUGAGAAAGAAAAUAAUUCGUCCUUGGAGAUAAGGCAUAACUUGUAUCCAUGCGCUUCAUAUUCGCCUGGAGUUCGCUCCUAGAAAUAUAGCCAUCUCUACCCCUCACGUCAAUCCCACAAGCCUCUUAUCCAUUCUUAUUUGAUCACGGAGGGGAAGGCAAAAUAGAAAAACUCACAUUGGGUUUAGGGAUAAUCAGGCUCGAACUGAUGACUUCACCGCGUCAAGGUGAUAUCACUGAAAAACGGUUUGCAGUGUUUUUACCACAAAUGCCGUUAUUUCUUACUUUUGUGGUGUUUUUAUCAUAACCGCUGCUAUACUUUACCUAUUGCGCUAUUGUUUUAUCUAUUGCAGUGUUUUUUUGUUAGCGCCACUAGUGUAUAAUAUUUGCGGCGUUUUUUGUCUAAGUGCACUAAAAAAACCUUAAUUUCCUAUAGUGGAACCCUAUGUGAUGGCAUGAUGGUUAAGAGUAUUCAUCAUCCUAGGUGAUGUGUGGGUUCAAAUCGUGCUAAUUACGUUUGUCGUUCGAGCUUUGCCCUGUUAUUGUAAUUCACCAAAAAAGAAAAAGUUAAUAUUUUGUUUUCAGGGUUUUUAUAUUUGUUAAGAAAUACCAGUGACUAAAUGGCUUAGGUACAAUUAAACAAAGUUUAUAAUUUAUUGGGAUAUAUUUUAAAAUUAUAUAUAAAUAUUUAUUCAAUGUGUAAUUUAAUACGUAAAUUUUAAUUUUAUACAAUUAUAUAUAUGAUUUUUUUAUAUCAAAUUCCAUAUUAAACUAUUAGAAUUUACGUAGAUUCAAAAAUAAUAUUAUUUUUUUUGGCUCACAUGCAAUUUAUUUAGAUACGUUACGCAUACCUCACUCAAAAUUUUUAAAAAAAAAAUUAUGAAGGCAAGUUAUGUUUUUAUGGAUGUAAUUUAGUAAUACAAAUAUUUUAUUCUUUAGCUGAAAAAGAUAGGUUUUUUUUAUAAUUUAAUUAAAAUUUACGAUUAUCAUUCAAUUUAGUGUAGCUUUUAGAGAUGACAAUGGAGCGGGGUGAGAGUAAAUAAUUGUUAAAUUUAUUAUCGCUCCAUCAUUUACAUUCAUUCUCGACGCAACCCAACCCACUUUGCUCUACUUCAAUUUAUUUUUUGAUAUUUGUCAUUGAUAUUUUCAAUCUUUUUAAAGUUAUAUAUUAGGGUUAUGGUUCUUAAAUUAUACAUAAAGUAACUUUUUUAAUAUCCCAUCUUUAGAAAAAAAAAAGAGCCACCUUCUCUAAAUUGCUUUUGUGCUAAUUUGGAAGAUCAAAACUUCAAUGUCCGUAUAUUUCAAGAAAUCAAUGAAUUAAGGUAUACUUUCGAAUCUAGUUUUGUUCUUGAUGAUUUGACAUGAUAGAUUCUGAUUUACAGUUUUAAGUUCAUAUCAUAUUUUGUUUUACGGUUCUAAUAAGUGGCAUUCGAGCCUCGUCAUGUAGAAUCAUUCUACUUCUAGCUAGAGCUUCUUCUCAUUGAUUUUCUUUUCUUUUAUUAUUUCUUUUUUACUUUGUUUAAAUUUUAAUUUUUUUUAAAUUUUAAACUCUUUAUAUAUUUAUUUUAAAAAUAAAAUUAUCACGGAUGUAUAUAAAUACAACAUUACCUAGUGCUAUCUACUCAUUUAUAUUUUUCAAUUAAAUUUUUGUUUUUAUAAAUCUCUACAUGCUUACAUUACUUCAAUACAACACCAAAGGAACCAAAUGUCAAACACCGACACCUAUAAAUAAAAUUCUUGCAAAAGAAGCCGUUUUAUUUAUCAUAAAAUUAUAUAAGAAAUAGCCAUACAUGGCGAUUACAUAAGCUUGAAUGCCUUAAAACACACAGACAUACGAUAGUAAUAAGCAAACACACACACAGAGGAUAGUAAUAAGCAAACAGACACACAGACGCAGUAAUGAAGGCUAACUUCAACUUCGUAGUAGUGCACAUCGAUCGAGCACAUUAUUAUUUAGUUUAGAGUUUCGACCUCUAGUGAUCGAAAACCCUGGUUCAAAGCCGGCAGCUUACGCACCCGUAGUGGUGUUGGAUUGGUGGCCAAGAAAAGCUGCAUCAGCAUUCUCAUCACUGCAAUAAAGGCAGGGGUGCUGCUGUCCAAUUCCUAGGUUUAUUAUUCAUUCCUGCCCAUCACCACAAGCUGUCUAUUGGUUAAUGCACCAUUGCUCUCCUUGAUGACCUUCAGAACUGUAUAGGUAAAGGCCCCAAACGCCUUUCCUCCAGUUUUGUCACUCGCUGGCAUAUCAAUUGAAAGCUCAUUGGCUUGGCACCCACUUAACAGAAUUCCCUCAUCCUCCGUCAGCGACCUCAAAUUCAAAAUAUCACGUUCAUAAUGGGGUAGGAAUUUGAGACUCACAUUGUUCCCAAAGAUUGUGGUCAAAAGAGAGCCAAUACCCGUCAUAUUGUCUGUUCCAGUGUUGAUGGCAUUGGCAACUGCUGUUGUGUCCAAGAAGCUUUGUGUCGCGCUCACGACGUUGGCUGCUGUUUGUAGGCACUGGUAUAAGGUUUCAAUGGAAAUGCUCCUAGUCUUGUAAUCAACAGGUGGUGCUAUACCCCUUAAGAGUACUAUGGGGUCCAAUUUGUUCUUUACUUUUAUCAAUCAGACCACCACUGUGGCAGGAAUCCGAAAUCAUUGUGAAGCUUGAUCCACUUGGUAGUUGCUGAAUCAAUUGCCCCAAGUCCACGUCUGCACAACCAUGGCAACCACCAUAUGAUAUAAAUAAUAGUUUGCUUAGAUUGAGAGUAUUUUAAAAUUUUAAUUUACCGAGUUGAUUACGUACCAAAAAUGGGAUUGAGAUCACAAGGCACAAUUGCUUCACCCUCGUUGGGAGGCUGGUGGGGGUCAAUGCGGUGCACAAUUCCAUGUCCACUAAAGUGGAAAAGCAGGACAUCUCCUUCUUUAGCGGCGACCACCAUCUUCUUGAGUUCAGCCAUAAUGUUUGCACGCGUAGGCUUAUACGUGGACUCUGGUUCAUCAGUUAGGAGCUCAACAUUUUCGGAAUCAAAGCCAAACCUGCUCACGAUCAUUUCUCUCAUGGCUUUCACAUCAUUUACGCAUCCGCUCAACUCGUUGAUGGUGUUGGGGUAGUUGCAUCCAACCAGAACGGCUCUCUUCUUACAUUCGGUGGCCAUCUUGCUUCUAUUUUGGGUCGCUUGUCUUGUCUUGUGCUUCGGACGUUGCACUAAACACCUAUAUAUAUACACACAUACACACUGUAGUUUACACUAUGCUCACUGACCAUACUCUAAUAAAUAAGACAUCAUGUUGGUAGGUACAACUGUUUUAUUUUAUUUUUUUGUUUAUAAAAAUGCAUGGCAAAUCCAUAUACAUGCAAUCAGAUGUCUGUAUAAAAGUACCACUGUUAGAGUGUAUUUGGACUAAAAAAUUUAGAAUUAAUUUAAAAUAUUAAAAUUUGUAAUUGUUUUAUUUAGAUAAAUAAUUGAUUUAGGACAAAUUAAGUUAUUAGAAUUUUACAAAUUAAAAAUAAUUGUAAAAUAAAAAAUUAUAUUACAAAAAAAUAAAAAUAAAAAUAAAAAUAAAAAUAAAAAUAAAAUAAUUAUAAAAUAAUUUAUACACAAAAAUGAAUAAUUUGAAAAGCUUUCCAUAUUAUUAAGUCCAAAUUUGAUACGAUACUUUUCCAAUUAAGCAAUUUUGAUAUAUUUGGCCUCUAAUAAGAAAUCAACAUAUGGAAUGGGUGAUUAAUCCGACUUGGGAGGAGGACAGGUGUUGUGAUGGACAAAGAGGAAGAUAAGGUAGGUAUUCCCUUUUUCAGACAAAUAAGAUAGAAGAUAGAAGAUAGAAAAUAUAGAGUGGUGGUCGAAGAUAGAGGAUUAUAACAACACUGAUAUGAUCUGCUUCACCUUCGUCCACCACCUCAUCUUUAAUUAUGUUUUUAUCUUGGUUGUGACUCACGUUGGCCUUCGUCUGCAAGUGCCGUCGGUCCUACUAUCCUGAUUUCUAUGGCCUUAUUUGGCAAUUGGCUCAUAAUGGACAAAUAAUAAUUGUAUAAUGUUUAAGUUAUAAUUUUAUAGAUUUAAGAGAGAUCAAAAUAAUAAUUUUUCAUUUUAUGGGGUAUAAAGUGUAAUUUUCAUUUUUAGGGGGUCAUGGUUAGAUGUGAUUAUGCCACAUGAAGGUAUGCCGGAAAAGUGGGAGAGCUUAAGUAAAAAUAUAGGCAUGAAAAAUGGGUUUAGAUAAAAAAAAUGCCCGUUUUCGAAACGGGUCAAGCCUUGUGUAAGAAUUUUUUGUCCGGGCCCGGCCCAGCCUGACUCAAAUUUGAUUAAAAAAAAUUCUUGGUGUUGUUUAAUGUUGUUUUGCUACCAUUUUACUAUUAUAUUGCUGCUAUUUUGUUAUUAUUGAUUGGAUAUUUUAUAACUUUGUUUUAUUAUUAAUUUUGCUACUAUUUUAGAAGCAUUUGCUUGUUAAGUUGCAACUAUCUUAGUGUUAUUUAAAUAAAAAGACUUUUUUUAAUGUAUUUUCAAUUUGUUGGGAAAUAUUUAUUUUAAUGUUUUUAGUUUAUUUGAUGUAUUAUAUAUUUAAAUAAAAAAGUUUAAUACGGGUAGACUGGGUCAAGCUCAGGUUUUGCAUUUUUUUUAUUUGGUUCAGGCUUGGACAAAAUUUUAGACCUAUUUUUCGGGUCGAUUUAGCCCAUGAUCAAGUUUAGCCACGACCCUUGCCUGCUCUGGUCACUGCCUCUGGCAAUAAGAUUAAUUCCAGUGAGAUUGAAAAUAGCAAUGGUGGUGAGAUUAGUUACUAUAGUGAUGAGAUUAAAAUCAAUAGUGAGAUGUGUGUUAGAAUUCAAACACAACUGUGGUUUAUAGAUUUAUAGUAAGAAAGUAGAAUGACCAUUAUGGACAUUAAACUAAAGUAGUUUACACUCUUCAAUAUAUUUUUGUACAAUUAAUAUUUUAAUAAUAAAAAUUCAUAUUUCAUUUAUAUAACUCAUGCGUAUUGUGAAAAAUAUAAUGUCGGUAAUGACAAUAUAUCGCAAAGAAAAAUAAAAAAAGAAAAAUAAAGAACACACAGAUUUUACGUGGAAACCCAUUCGGGAAAAAAAACCACAGGCAGAGGAGAAGAAAAUUCACUAUGUCGAAUUCGAACUAAUUACAAGAGGAGUAGACUAUACCUAUUUAUAGGCUUGUAAAACCAUAUUCUAAUAGGAGUAAAACACCUUAUUCUAAUCAAUAUCAAAUAGAUAGAGUUUAAUAAGGUUUAAAAAACCUUAUUCUAAAAUAAAAUAAAAGAAGUAUAAUUCUAUAGGGAUUUUACUUUUAUUUUAUUUUACCACAGUAUUUUAUUAAAUAAUGAUUCGGGUCACUUAAUUCUAACAAUCUCCACCUUGAAACGAAUUCUUAAUGAACAAGUUCUUCAUCGCGAACUUUCAACGAACAAGUUUUUCAUCGCGAACUUUCAACUUAAGGGUUUAUCUUCAACAAUGAACACCAACCAAGUCUAUGCAAUGCUCAAACUUGGUUAUAGGAAGUGACUUAGUCAUCAUAUCUGCAGGAUUUUCAUGAGUACUAAUUUUGCUCACAACAAAAUCACCACGAGCAAUAAUAUCACGAACAAAAUGAUACCGAACAUCAAUAUGUUUUGUUCUCUCAUGAAACAUUUGAUCUUUUGUAAGGAAGAUGUCACUUUGACUGUCACAAAAUACUGUAUUGAUUUGAAGGUCUUCAUUGAGUUCAUUAAAGAGUCCCUUCAACAAAAUAGCUUCUUUACAAGCCUCAGUAAUCACCAUGUACUCAGCUUCAGUGGUGGACAAAGCGACUGUAGUUUGCAAAGUGGCUUUCCAACUGAUUGCACAACCUCCGAUUGUAAAGACAUAACCUGUGAGAGAUCUUCUUCUAUCGAGGUAUCUAGCAAAAUCAGCAUUAACAUACCCAAUGACUCCAUCUCUAGUUCUUCCAAACUGUAAGCAAACAUCGGUAGUACCUCGUAAGUAUCUUAAAACCCACUGAACUGCUUUCCAAUGUUCUUUACCGGGAUUCACCAUGUAUCUGCUAACUGCAUUAACUGCAUAUGAUAAAUCUGGACGUGAACAAACCAUAGCAUACAUGAGAGAUCCCACUGCACUAGAGUAUAGAACAUGUGACAUAUACUCAAUCUCAUCAUCUGAUUGUGGAGACAAAGCCGAUGAAAGUCUUAAAUGGGCUGCUAAAGGAGUACUGACAGACUUAGCAUUCUGCAUAUUGAAUCUACAAAGAACUUUCUCAAUGUACCCCUUUUGACUUAGGUACAAUUUACUUGCUUUUCUAUCUCUGAGAAUCUCCAUACCAAGUAUCUUCUUCGCUGGUCCCAAAUCUUUCAUCUCAAAUUCUUUACUUAGUUGGGCUUUGACCUUUCUUAUCUCUCCUUUAUCUUUUGCUGCUAUCAACAUGUCAUCAACAUAAAAGAGUAGAUACACAAAAGAACCAUCACUGUUUUUCUUAAAGUAAACACAACUGUCAAAGCUACUUCUUUUAAAAUUAUGAGAAGUCAUAAAGGAAUCAAACCUCUUAUACCACUGUAUUGGUGACUGUUUCAAACCGUAAAGGGACUUUUUCAGCAAGCAAACAUAGUCCUCUUUUUCUGAGAUUGUAAAACACUCUGGUUGUUGCAUGUAAAUAUCCUCCUCAAGUUCUCCAUGCAAAAAUACAGUUUUUACAUCUAACUGCUCAAGCUCCAAAUCAUGCAUGGCUACAAUACCAAGCAAAGCUUGAAUCAAACUAUGCUUCAGAACUGGAGAGAACAUAUCUGUGAAGUCCACUCUUGGAAUUUGACUGUAACCCUUUCCAACAAGCCUUGCUUUAUAUCUGGGUUCUUCAACUCUUGAAGUCCCCUCUUUCUUCUUAAACACCAAUUUACAACGAACAACCUUUUUACCUUUAGGAAGUUUCACAAGAUCCCAUGUUUUAUUUUUGUGUAGUGAUUCCAUCUCCUCUUGCAUAGCAAACAUCCACUUUUCUAAGUCUUCACAACUAACCGCCUCAGAAUAAUUAGAUGGCUCUUGGUUUGCAUCUAUAUCUUCAGCCACAUUUAAAGCAUAAGACACUAGAUCAGCCUCGGCAUACUUCUUUGGAGGUUUAAUUUCUUUUCUAGUUCUAUUUUUGCCGAUAGAGUAUUAUGGUGAAGAAGCAACUCUAUUUUGAAUUUUUGUACUGGCUUCAGUAGUCGACUCUGUUGUAGAUUCUGAAUUAAUCUAAUGCUCCACCUUCUUUUGAUUUUCUUUAUCGGAAGAGUCUUUAAGAGAUAAGUUAGGUAGCAUAGCAGUUUCAUUAAAAACAACAUCUCUGCUAAUCACCACUUUUCUAUUUUCAGGACACCAUAACUUAUACUCUUUUACACCAGCUUUAUAACCAAGAAAAACACAUUUAAUAGAUCUCGGUUCCAAUUUUCCAUUAUCAACAUGAGCAUACGCAGGACAACCAAAAAUCUUUAAAUUAGAAUAGUCAGCAGGAUUACCAGACCAUACCUCUUGUGGAGUCUUUUUCUCAAUGGCAACAGAUGGAGAUCGGUUGAUCAAAAAAAUACAGUAGAGGCUACUUUGGCCCAAAAUGACUUUGGUAAGCUGGCAUUUGACAACAUACAUCGAACCUUCUCCAUAAUCGUUCUAUUCAUUCGUUCUGCAACACCGUUUUACUGUGGAGUAUGACGAACUAUCAAGUGUCUCACGAUCCCUUCUGACUUGCAUAGUUUAUUGAAUUCAUCAGAAUAGAACUCUAAGCCAUUAUCUGUGCGAAGGUGUUUUAUUUGCAUUCCCGUCUGUUUUUCAAUCAUGGUUUUCCAAGACUUAAAUGCGGAAAACACAUCGCUUUUCUGCUUCAGAAAGAACGCCCACACUUUUCUACAAAAAUCAUCAAUAAAAGUUAGCAUAUAAUUAGCUCCACCUCUCGAAGAUACUCUGGAUGGACCCCACAGAUCAUAAUGAAUAUACUCUAAUGUUCCCUUCGUGUUAUAGAUUCCUCUGGUGAAUCGAACUCUUUUUUGCUUCCCAAAAACGCAGUGCUCACAGAACUGUAGUUUGCAAAUUCCUUGCCCAUCAAGAAGUCCUCUUUUGCUCAAUUCUGCCAUGCCAAUCUCACUCAUAUGCCCUAGGCGCAUAUGCCAAUGUUUAGUAAUAUCAUCAUUUGACAAGGAAGAGGAUGUGACAGUUGCAUCACCAGUAACAGUAGAACCCUGCAAAACAUAUAACUUGGCAGUCUUUCUCUGCCCUUUCAUUACAAUGAGGGAACCUUUAGAAAUCUUCAAAACCCCACUUUCAGCUGUGUAUUUGUACCUUUUUGAAUCAAGAGUACUCAAUAAAAUUAAAUUUCUCUUCAAUUCUGGAACAUGUCGUACGUCGCUAAGUGUUCUGACAACUCUAUCAAACAUCUUAACUUUAAUUGUUCCAACACCUGUAAUUCUACAUGAAGCAUUAUUUCCCAUCAAAACAACACCUUCAGACACUGUUUCGUAAGUUGUAAACCAAUCCCGAUUGGGACUCAUGUGGAAGGUGCAGCCCGAAUCAAGAAUCCACUCCUCGCUCACUUUAAAAUUGUUGACAGAAGCGACUAGAAGUUCACCAUCGCUAUAGUCUUCUACAACAUCAGCCUUACCAAAAUUUUCUGGUUGCUUUCCAUUUUGAUUCACAGCUUCCCUUUUGAUCUUAUUCUGCAGUUUAUAGCACUCAGAUUUAGCGUGCCCAUUCUUGUUGACGCCAUUUUCUGGAUGAAAAAAGGGUCAACUUGGAUUUUGAAAAUGAAAACGGGAGUCGCCACCAAUCCUUUUUUGUGAGGUGUGAUUGGAUCACCUCCAAAAGUGGUUGUUUUUAAUAAACGGUUUGAUUUUAUUAAAACAACAAGUUUGGUCCACGAAAUUCAGAAAAAUGGGUUCGGGAGUCGGUUACGCACGAGGAAGGAUUAGCACCGUCGAUACGCCCAAAAUUGGUACCUAGUUGAUUAGUUAAUGUCUUAAUGUCGAAAAUUGAAAACUUUGAAGAAUUUUAAAAAUACGAUCCUUAUAUUAUAAUGUUGAAAAUUUUCGGGAAAAUGAGGCAUAUUUCACGUUAAUCGAGGAAAAGAAUCAUAUCCAGUAAGUUAGGACACAAUUUCUCGAAUUUUCGAUGCGCGAAUGAAUGCCGAAAAUUUAAAAGAUGUCUGACUAUCUCGAAUUUAAAAAAGGGAUCAAGUCCAGUAAGUUAGGACUCGAUCUUUUCUUAAUUUCCGAGAUCAUUUAAAACUUCGGUUAAAAAACUCUCGUAUUUAGAUUUAUCGUGAAAAUCGAAACCUAGUAAGUUAGGGUACGACUUUCUCGAGUCUAAACAUGAAAUUUUAUUUAUUCAAAAGUCAUAAUUUAUACAUUGAAUGAAAAAUAAUUUAACGCGUAAUAGUAGAAAUAAAACAUGAUGUUAAUGCUUGUAACAAAACAAUAAUGAAUUCGAUAAUGUAAUUAUGAAUAAUACGAGUAACAACAAAUAAAAGAUAAAUAAAUAAAAAACGAAUUAAACAUGCAAAAGAAUAAGCAAAUAAACUACUCGAAUGAAAGUGGGCAUAAAUAAAUAAAAGAAAAUAAACACCGCGCUAAAUAACGAAACCAUAAAAGAAAUAAAAAUAUAUAAAUACAUGUAUAUAUAUAUUUUAGAAUUAUGAAAAUAUAGAAAAUAUUUAAAAAUAUGUAUACGUAUAUCUAUGUGUAAUAAAAUACGUAGAAAUAGAUAUAGGUAUGUGUAAGUAUGAAAAAUGAAAUAUAAAAAUAUAUUUAUAAUAACUUUAAAAUGUAUGUGUAUAUGGAUUAGGAAAAUGUAUAUAUUUACACACAAUAAAAUAAAAUAAAAUAAAAUAUGUACAUAUAUAUUAUAAAAAGUAUGCGUUUGUAUAUGUAAAAUAUAUAACAAGAAUUUUAAAAUUAAAAGAGUAUAAACAUAAUAAUAAUAAUAAUAAUAAUAAUAAUAAUAAUUUGAAAACAUGAAAAGCUAGAAGUAAAUAAUAAAUAAUAAAAGAUACAGUAAGAUAAAUAUAUAUAUAUAAAAACUAAAAAACUAAAAAAGAAAUAUAUAAUAUAUAAUAUAAUAUAAUAUAUAAAAAGGUAAUGCAAAACUAUUUUAUAUAAUAAUGAUGAAUAAAUAAAUAAAUAUAAGGGAAAAUAAAAACUAAUAAUAAAUAACAAUAAUAAUAAUAACAUCUCAUUUAUUGAUUUAAUAAUAAAACAAACAAAAUAACACAAAAAAAGGCUAAAUUAGAUAUUAAAACAAAAUUCGGGGCCAAAUCUAUAAAUAAAUAAAAGAGGAAGGACAAAGUUGAACGCGCGAACAACAAGAAGGGAUCAAGAGAGCAAUUUUUCCUUCUUUCCCAAAACGCACAGCAUCAUAAGACCAAAUUGUAAAGAAAAAUAAACUAAUGUGCGAAUUUUAAAAAAAACAAAAGGGCCUUGAUUGUAAAAUUAUUUAAAAGCGGAAGGGCUGAAAACGCAAUUAGCCCUUCCGCUCAAAAACACGCGGAUCUUGGCUUGGAGCGGGUCGGGCGAAUUGGGUUAAAGCCAAAACGACGCCGUUUUGGCGUUUUAGAGGGCUGAGCAAAACGACGCCGUUUUGCUUCCCUAUUUAAACCAAUUUUUUUCCAGAAACUUUCAUUUUUCUUUCUUCUUCAAACAAAACUCCCUCAUUCUCUCUCAACCCCCUUUCUUCUCCCCCAAAAUCCGGCCAAGCUUCCGGCGAGCCACCGCCGUAGCCCACCGCGCCGGCCACCGUACACGGUGGCUGAAAAAAUAAAAAAAAAGGUAAUUUUUUUAUUUUGCUAAUAUAAACUGUUUUUAUAUGUAUAUAUAUGUUUGAAAAUAGGAAAUGAACGGAUAUAUAAAAAAAAGAAAAAAAGAAUCCGAAAUGAAAAAGGAGAGAUCACCUUUUAGUGUAUCUUUUUUUUUCUAUUGAUCUUUCUUCCCUUUUUUGUUACAAAAGUCCCUCAAAAAACCCCCGUUACAUUUUUUGAAUGGCCUUUAAAUAGCCAUUUUUUACAUCUUUUUAAUCUGUUCUUGCGCUCUUGUCACUUCUUUCUUUCUGUUUGCAGGCGCAAGUGGGUGAGCAAGUGGGCUGCGGCGUCAGAAGCAAGUGGCGACCAGGAGCAGGUGGUGGCAGUUGGGGUUGGUGGCUGUGGCGGCUGAAGCUAGGGUUAGGGGCUAGGGUUUCUUUUCUUUUGUUUUUUUUGUUAUUGUUUUCUGAUUUGGGCUGAAAAGUUUUUUUAUUGGGUUUAGGUUGGUUAUUUGUUAUUGGGCUAAUUGUUUUGGUUUAAUUGUUUUGGUUCCUUGGGCCCGGGUCAAAAAUUGGGCUUGUAUUGCUUGUUGGAGGGAUCCAAUCGCGAUAUGAUUAGUUGGCCCUAGGAAAAUGGUUAAAAGCUAUUCAUCAGGGUCGGAUGUACCAUAAAUAAAUGAUAUGAGCCCAUAAUAAAUAGGCUCGUCUCAGAGAAUUCCACGAGAAGGCUGGAUGUUGAAAAGAUUCUUCCUUAACGAAAGGAUUCUAAAGGGAAAUGAAUGCCAAACCAGGAAUGUCCCUAUGUUGUAAAGAAGAUCAUUUUCAGAGGAGCACUGAUCCUGAGUGAGAUUGCCAAUCCUAUAAACUCGGAUCCAGUUAAGAAACAUUUCGUUUAAAGAAAAAGGAAGGACCAAGGUGAAAACUUGCAAAGGGCACUUUGAGUCAAGAAAAAAAUGUAAAAAAAAAAAUGAAUGAAAAUGAAAAAAAAUUGAAAAAUGAAAAAAUGAAAAGUAAAAAUGGAGAGGCUAAGGGGAAAACCCGCAAAGGGCAUCUUAGGCCAAAGGGGAUUUGAGUUGAAAACCCGAAGGAGGGAUCAAAUAUUGAUCAGAAUGGGGCAUGAAGUGAUCAGAUUGGGGCAUGCGGUGAUCUUGCUAUACCUGAAAGGGUAAGGCGACAUCUUGGGGCAUCGACGGAGUCCUGUAGAUCUUCUAAACACCUGUCAAACUCAGGAAGGUCUUCAGAAAGUUUGUACAGAGAAGUUCAAGUUGCGAUAUCUAGGGCACCUGCCAUUCGUAUUAUUUGAAGUUGUUAUUCUUGGAAUACUUCUUUCUUUUUCAAGAUACAUGUUCCAAUCAAUUCCUUUUUUUGCUAUCCUUGAUAAUUUAUUCAUUUCGAGCUAUGCUCUCAAAUCAAUUCUAUUUUAUCCAUCGUUAUAUUCUUCUUGCAAGCAUGUUGCAUUGGAAUGAUGAUACUUUCACAAUGGAAGUUUUACAUAUUACUCUAGAAGUUUCUAAAUAAUAUAGGAACCUGAAACAGGACUAUUGUUUAGAAAACACCAAGUUUAAAGGGUGAAAUAUCUAAGAAGGAAAAGUCUAAGUUAAGGCUAUCCCUUCGGAUUUUGUUGUCCAAACAUUGACUGAACAAAAUGACAAGAUGCCGUGUUGGUGACAAAGCUUCAAUGAACAAACAAGCAAUGAUCACUGAGUGAUAAGAAAAGGUUUUCUCAGAGAAGAAAAUUUUGCAAUUGUGCAUGAGCAUUUGGUAUGACACCUGGGGAAUGGGGUAAAAAAAACCAAAAAGCUUCACAUUCUGUAUCCUUGAAUUACGAUAGAAGAAGAUUGAGAAAAGCCAUAUCUUUCUACCCUUGGGUUACAGUGGGAGAAUGAUGGUACAUUUUUACGUCCCAAUGGAUUGAACUUUGACGUUCACAGUGGGGGGCAAUCAGAUUAAGUGUUUCUUUGGAUAUGCCAGACGAGCAAGAAGGCGUUGUAGUACGUCAGUGAUAAAACCUUAAUAAGCUUUUGCGUGAUGAUAACCUAAGCAUUAAGGAACCAUUUUCAUGACAUUUUGCAUUCAUUCAAAUGUCAUUCAUACACAUCUAGUUAGGAGCAUUUGAUUUGUUCUGAUCAUGUCAUCCUAAUCACUAGGCACAAUUAGGUUCAUAAAAUAGAACAUACAGGUCAGGUUCCCCAAAGAACAGAUCAACGAAGAUAGCAGAUCUUGUCUUCCUGUAUUUGGCAGCGGAGGAAAUCGAAGAUAGUAGAUCUUGUCUUCCUGUAUUUGGCAACGAAGGAGAUCGAAGAUAGCAGAUCUUAUCUUCCUGUAUUCGGCAGCGGAGGAGAUCAAAGAUAUAGCAGAUCUUGUCUUCCUGUAUUAGGCAGCGGAGUAGAUCGAAGAAAGCAGAUCUUGUCUUCCUGUAUUAGGCAGUGGAGUAGAUCAAAGAAAGCAGAUCUUUUCUUCCUGUAUUAGGCAGUGGAGUAGAUCAAAGAAAGCAGAUCUUGUCUUCCUGUAUUAGGCAGCAGAGUAGAUCGAAGAAAGCAGAUCUUGUCUUCCUAUAUUAGGCAGCGAAGUAGAUCGAAGAAAGCAGAUCUUGUCUUCUUGUAUUAGGCAGCGGAGUAGAUCGAAGAAAGCAGAUCUUGUCUUCCUGUAUUAGGUAGCGGAGUAGAUCGAAGAAAGCAGAUCUUGUCUUCCUGUAUUAGGCAUCAGAGUAGAUCGAAGGAAGCAGAUCUUGUCUUCUUGUAUUAGGCAGUGGAGUAGAUCGAAGAUAUAACAGAUCUUGUCUUCCUGUAUUAGAGCGGAGUAGAUCGAAGAAAGCAGAUCUUGUCUUCCUAUAUUAGGCAGCGGAGUAGAUCGAAGAAAGUAGAUCUUGUCUUCCUGUAUUAGGUAGUGAAGUAGAUCGAAGAUAGUAGAUCUUGCCUUCCUGCCUUGACAGCGAAGCAGAUCGAAGACACAAACCUUGCCUCUCUCGGUUGUAGUGGAGCUGGUUGAAGACAACAGAUCUUGCCUUCCUGCAUUGACAGCGAAGCAGAUCGAAGACACAAACCUUGCCUCUCUCGGUUGUAGUGGAGCUGGUUGAAGACAACAGAUCUUGCCUUCAUGCAUUGACAGCGAAGCAGAUCAAAGACACAAACCUUGCCUCUCUCGGUAGUAACGGAGCUAGUUGAAGAUAACAAAUCUUGCCUUCCUGCAUUGACAGCGAAGCAUAUCGAAGACACAAACCUUAUCUCCCUAACGUUGUAGUGGAGCAGACUAAAACCACAAAUCUCGUCCCCCUAAAGUUAUAACAGAGUGGAUUGAAGCUACAAGUCUUGUCUUUUUGAAGUUGCAGCGGAAUGGAUCGAAGCAACAAGACAUACUGGACUGGAAUGAAACUACUUGGAAAGAGAGGUGUUAGAGAAGUCAAGACUCAGUGAGACCGGGCAAAAAUUGGUCUUUCUUAGUCUUUGCUCUGUUAUCGUUACAUGACAACAAGCAAAGAGGGGCAGCUGUACAAGCCCAAUUUUUGACCCGGGCCCAAGGAACCAAAACAAUUAAACCAAAACAAUUAGCCCAAUAACAAAUAACAACCCAAACCCAAUAAAAAACUUUUCAACCCAAAUCAGAAAACAAUAACAAAAAAAAAAACAAAAGAAAAGAAACCCUAGCCCCUAACCCUAGCUUCAGCUGCCGCAGCCACCAACCCCAACUGCCACCACCUGCUCCUAGCCGCCACUUGCUUCUGACGCCACAGCCCACUUGCUCACCCGUUUGCGCCUGCAAACAGAAAGAAAGAAGUGACAAGAGCGCAAGAACAGAUUAAAAAGAUGUAAAAAAUGGCUAUUUAAAGGCCAUUCAAAAAAUGUAACGGGGGUUUUUUGAGGGACUUUUGUAACAAAAAAGGGAAGAAAGAUCAAUAGAAAAAAAAGAGACACUAAAAGGUGAUCUCUCCUUUUUCAUUUCGGAUUCUUUUUUUUCUUUUUUUUAUAUAUCCGUUCAUUUCCUAUUUUCAAACAUAUAUAUAUACAUAUAAAAAUAGUUUAUAUUAGCAAAAUAAAAAAAUUACCUUUUUUUUAUUUUUCCGGCCACCGUACACUGUGGCCGGCGCGGUGGCGCUACGGCGGUGGCUCGCCGGAAGCUUGGCCAGAUUUUGAGGGAGAAGAAAGGGGGUUGAGAGAGAAUGAGGGAGUUUUUUUGAAGAAGAAAGAAAAAUGAAAGUUUCUGGAAAAAAGUUUGUUUAAAUAGGGAAGCAAAACGGCGUCGUUUUGCUCAGCCCUCUAAAACGCCAAAACGGCGUCAUUUUGGCUUUGACCCGAUCCACCCGACCCGCUCCAGGCCAAGAUCCGCGUAUUUUUGAGCGGAAGGGCUAAUUGCGUUUUCAGCCUUUCCGCUUUUAAAUAAUUUUACAAUCAAGGCCCUUUUGUUUUUUUUAAAUUCGCACAUUAGUUUAUUUUUCUUUACAAUUUGGUCCUAUGAUGCUGUGCGUUUUGGGAAAGAAGGAAAAAUUGCUCUCUUGAUCCCUUCUUGUUGUUCGCGCGUUCAACUUUGUCCUUCCUCUUUUAUUUAUUUAUAGAUUUGGCCCCGAAUUUUGCUUUAAUAUCUAGUUUAGCCUUUUUUUGUGUUAUUUUGUUUGUUUUAUUAUUAAAUCAAUAAAUGAGAUGUUAUUAUUAUUAUUGUUAUUUAUUAUUAGUUUUUAUUUUCCCUUAUAUUUAUUUAUUUAUUCAUCAUUAUUAUAUAAAUUAGUUUUGCAUUACCUUUUUAUAUAUUAUAUUAUAUUAUAUAUUAUAUAUUUCUUUUUUAGUUUUUUAGUUUUUAUAUAUAUAUUUUUAUCUUACUGUAUCUUUUAUUAUUUAUUAUUUACUUCUAGCUUUUCAUGAUUUCAAAUUAUUAUUAUUAUUAUUAUUAUUAUUAUUAUUAUUAUUAUUAUUAUGUUUAUACUCUUUUAAUUUUAAAAUUCUUGUUAUAUAUUUUACAUAUACAAACGCAUACUUUUUAUAAUAUAUAUGUACAUAUUUUAUUUUAUUUUAUUUUAUUGUGUGUAAAUAUAUACAUUUUCCUAAUCCAUAUACACAUACAUUUUAAAGUUAUUAUAAAUAUAUUUUUAUAUUUCAUUUUUCAUACUUACACAUACCUAUAUCUAUUUCUACGUAUUUUAUUACACAUAGAUAUACGUAUACAUAUUUUUAAAUAUUUUCUAUAUUUUCAUAAUUCUAAAAUAUAUAUAAACAUGUAUUUAUAUAUUUUUAUUUCUUUUAUGGUUUCGUUAUUUAGCGCGGUGUUUAUUUUCUUUUAUUUAUUUAUGCCCACUUUCAUUCGAGUAGUUUAUUUGCUUAUUCUUUUGCAUGUUUAAUUCGUUUUUUAUUUAUUUAUCUUUUAUUUGUUGUUACUCGUAUUAUUCAUACUUACAUUAUCGAAUUCAUUAUUGUUUUGUUACAAGCAUUAACAUCAUGUUUUAUUUCUACUAUUAGGCGUUAAAUUAUUUUUCAUUCAAUGUAUAAAUUAUGACUUUUGAAUAAAUAAAAUUUCAUGUUUAGACUCGAGAAAGUCGUACCCUAACUUACUGGGUUUCGAUUUUCACGAUAAAUCUAAAUACGCGAGUUUUUUAACCGAAUUUUUAAAUGAUCUUGGAAAUUAAGAAAAGAUCGAGUCCAAACUUACUGGACUUGAUCCCUUUUUUAAAUUCGAGAUAGUCAGACAUCUUUUAAAUUUUCGGCAUUCAUUCGCGCAUCGAAAAUUCGAGAAAUUGUGUCCUAACUUACUGGAUAUGAUUCUUUUCCUCGAUUAACGUGAAAUAUGCCUCAUUUUCCCAAAAAUUUUCAACAUUAUAAUAUAAGGAUCGUAUUUUUAAAAUUCUUCAAAGUUUUCAAUUUUCGACAUUAAGACAUUAACUAAUCAACUAGGUACCAAUUUUGGGCGUAUCGAGGGUGCUAAUCCUUCCUCGUGCGUAACCGACUCCCGAACCCGUUUUUCUGAAUUUCGUGGACCGAACUUGUUGUUUUAAUAAAAUCAAACCGUUUAUUCAAAACAACCACUUUUCGAGGUGAUCCAAUCACACCUCACAAAAAAGGAUUGGUGGCGACUCCCGUUUUCAUUUUCAAAAUCCAAGUUGACCCUUUUUUCAUCCAAAAAAUGGUGUCAACAAUUCUUCUUGCAGAAGUUACAAGUUUUACCUCUGUUUGAAGACUUCGAUCUACCUUUAGAUUUACAGCGAGGAUUCCGUUCCUGUGUCCUUCCACGAUCAUCAUCAAAAUUCCGAUCUUGUCUCCCACGAACAAUGAGACCCUUUCCUUGAGAGUCAAUUUUAACCACAAGAUACUUCAUCUUAUCAUACGAGGUUAAAGAAUCAUAAACCUCAUCAACUGUGAGAGACUCGCGGCUAUAUAAAAUUGUAUCUCUAAAGGUUGAAUAAGACGGGGGCAACGAACAAAGUAGAAUCAACCCUAGAUCUUCCUUAUCAUACUCAACCUCCAUGGCCUCUAAAUUUGAGAGAAUUUUUUUAAACAUUGUCAAGUGUUCGUGCACAGACGCACCUUCCUCUAAACGAUGAUCAUAAAGACGCUGCUUCAUAUGCAGUUUACUAGUUAGAGUUUUCGACAUACAUAUUUGUUCCAACCUUUUCCAUAAUCCAGCGGCGGUCUUCUCCUUCAUCACAUCCUGCAAAAUUUCGUUAGACAAAUGCAGAUGUAACUGUGUUAACGCCUUUCGAUCCUUGCGCUUCUUCUCUUCCUCCGUCAAUGUUGAAGGCACCUUAUCUACCCCUAGUAGGGCUUCCUCUAAGUCUAUCUAUGCAAGAACUACUUGCAUCUUUAUUUGCCGCAAUGCGAAUCUGGUGUUGCGAUCCAACAGCGAAAUUUCAUACUUCAAAGACGUCAUUAUCGUGAUUGAGAUGAAUAACCCGAAAGCUCUGAUACCAAUUUGUGAAAAAUAUAAUGUCGGUAAUGACAAUAUAUCGCAAAGAAAAAUAAAAAAUAAAAAUAAAAAUAAAAAACACACAGAUUUUACGUGGAAACCCUUUUGGGAAAAAAAACCACGGGCAAAGGAGAAGAAAAUUCACUAUGUCGAAUUCGAAUUAAUUACAAGAGGAGUAGACUAUACCUAUUUAUAGGCUUGUAAAACCAUAAUCUAAUAGGAGUAAAACACCUUAUUCUAAUCAAUAUCAAAUAGAUAGAGUUUAAUAAGGUUUAAAAAACCUUAUUCUAAAAUAAAAUAAAAGAAGUAUAAUUCUAUAGGGAUUUUACUUUUAUUUUAUUUUACCACAGUAUUUUAUUUAAAUAAUGAUUUGGGUCACUUAAUUCUAACAAUCUCCACCUAUUUAAUGUAAAUUAAAAAUGUUCAAACUAAUUGUUUUAUGUAAGAUAUGAAUGACAGUCUUCUAUAGAACUUCCUAAAUAUAGUCAGUUUUAAAAUUCAAAACUAAUCAUUUUUAAAAGCUUAUUUUUAUGGAGAUAUUUGGCUUGGAUGAUGAGAGAAAUCAAGAGAAUUAAGGUUGAAGAUCAAAAAGUGGAAGAAAAGCAUGAAGAUGGAGAAGACUAACGUGAAACUUAUAGGUGGGGAUGAUUUUAGGUUGAUUUUUAAAAUUUGUUUUAAUUGCCUCUUAAAAACUCACAAUUUUAAUUUUUUUACAAAUCAAUACUACCUUCAAAAUUAAAGGUAUUUAAAACUCAUUUUCAGAAAUUGAUUUAAUUUUAAUCAUAGUAAAAAAUAUUAUCGAUAAACCAUUUCGUAAAAUUUCGAACACUCUAAGGCUAAAAUUCCUAAAUUACCUCUAAAACUCCUAGGUCCUAUUUUGGGAUGUUACAAUAAAUUGGUGUAAAUACACAUUUGGUCCCUAUCGAUUUUAAAAUUGAGCAAAUAGAUCUUUCUCUCAAAAAAAAUUACAAAAAAAUUUCAAAAUAUUUAUAAAAAUUUAAGAAUUUAAAUAUUUUAAAAAUAUAUAUUAAAAACUCAAAAGAAUAUAUAUAAAAAUUAGAAAACUCUAAAAUUAUCAUUUUUGGGACCUAAAUAAGUUAAUUAAUAAUUCAAUUUUAUAAUACUAUUUUUACUCUUUUUUUUAAUGAAUUAAAAAAAAUAAAUGAUUUCAAAGUUAUGUGUUUUAAUAUAGAAUUAGUUAAAUUGUAAAAAUAUUUUAAUUUUUUCACUCGAUCCGAUCGAACGCUCACUCCUAGUGGUCGAUGUUCAUCCGCAUAUAUCUUUUGUCUCUAACCAGAAAAGAUCUCUUCCAAAAUGAAACUCUUAAAUUGGAGCGUGUCAUAUUUACUACAGGCCGUUUAUGAUAGAAUCGGACCAUUUAACUUUGAAAUCACUCACGUAAUGCAUGUUAUUCGGAAGGUUAUCGAUAAAUAUCGUUGCAACACCUUGAAGUUCGCCACUCCAUUUUUCUAUUGUGCGCUCUCCUUUGAUUAUAACAAUCCAGAACCUUCCUUACUCUAACUUAUAAAAUUAAAAAGACUCUGUAGGACAAAAUAAGACUUUAUUUAUUUAUUUAUUAUUACACUAGAAUUUCACACAUAGCAAACGCACACUAUAUAGGAGAUGCAUAAGAAAACAGCGGUAGGUAGAUAUAAGUCAACAGGCUGUCAAAUUUAUUCUAGUAGUAGUGCAAAACAUAAGCACAUUACUGACAGCCUGAGCACCAGCAUUUUGAUCAGAAAUUUAAGCAAAGCCACCCAAGAAAAGUGUGUUUGUAUUCUCAUCACUGCAAUAAAGGCAAGGGUUCUGCUCGAAUCCAUUGUUCUUCAAAAUCUUGGCAGCCUCAGCCACGAGGUGUCUGUUGCUUAUUCCAACACCCAAGUUCUGAUUGAUUACGUUAACCACAGCAUCGGUGAACGCCCCAAAGGCUUUAUUUUCCAAGACCAGGUCAUAUGAUGUCUCAUUGGCUUCACAUCCACUUAAUAAAAUCCCUUCAUCCUCCUCCAGUGGAUCCAACACCAUUAACCCCUCUACGUAGUGAGGAUGGAAUUUGAGACUCACAUCUUUCCCGAAGAUUCCGAAAAUCUUUUGGCCAACAUUUGCUGCGUCGUGUAGGAUGCCUGCUGCUGUAUCUAUCGCACUAUGUAUGAUAUCAAAAGUAAGACUCUUAGCCUUAGCCUUAGACGGUUUAGGCUUGUCGGUAUUUACUGUUGUCGUCAUAUGCUGACCACCAAAUUGUUCUUUCUCUUUUUCAAUGAGACCCCCACUGUGGCACGAAUCUGAUAGGAUUGUGAAGCUUGCUCCUUCUGGUAGCCGAUUAACUAAACGUCUGAAGUCCACAUCUGCAGAAACCAAGUAUAUAUAGGGUAUGAAUAUAUGUUGCUAAAAUAAAUAUAUAAAUUCAAACAAAAACCUACCGGUGACAAGAUUUAAAUCACAAGCCACGAUUGCUUCAUCUUGCUUGAAAGGCUGGCCAGGUUGAAAGAUUGGAACGCGUGUUCCAUGUCCACUGAAGUAGAAAAAUAGAAUAUCUCCUGCUUUAGCCUUGUUCACCAUUCUAUUGAGUGCAUCCUUAAUGUUUACACCCGUAGGCAGAACCGGCGACCCUGGCGCAUCGGUGAGGACAUUAACAUCGCUUUCCUUAAACCCAAUGUCCAGGAUCACACCUCUUAUGGCUUUCACAUCAUUGAUGCAUCCAUGCAAGCUGAAUUGGGUCUUGGGGUAGUUGCAUCCCACCAGAACUGCUCUCUUCGUACCCUUACUCAUCUUGCUCGCUAAUUUGACUAUUUUGUGUUGCUUGUACUGUUGGAAUAAUGUGCUUCCACUGCCUCACUAAGAACAUAUAUAUAUAUACACACUAAUUUACAGCAUGUGUACUGACCAUAAAGAUGACGACAUGUAGGUAGGUAGAUAGGUAGGUAGGCUGUAAUAGAAACUCUCACAUGAAACGAAUGAAUGAAUGAAUUAUUAUUCAUGAAAAAGAUGAUCAGCUGAACCAUCAGCUUCCUGUAUUUAAAGAGUUUUACAAGUCUAACUAACACUUGUAAAUGCUAACUGCUAAAUGCUAAUUGCUAACAACAACCUGCACUGCUAUUUACUAUUUUAACUACUAUUUUACAACUGAAUAGGCAGGUACUGUAGAAGUUUGAUUAAUAUUUGGAGAAAUAAAACAAAGAAAGUGAUAAAAAAUAUAAUGGAGAAGAGAAAUAAAUUUUGUAUGGAAGAGAAAAAAAAUUCUUUCUAAUAAACUUUUUAUUUCACUCACACUAUAUAUUCUUCAUCACAUACAACUCUUUAUAUAGGAGUUGUAAGUGACUAUUCAUCUAUAUCACUAAAUCACUAAAUGCUAGGAGUUGUGACUAUUCAUUUACAUAACUUAAAUACUAUAGGAGUUGUGACUAUUCAUGCAUGUGUGUAACUUUUCAUCUUCAAGUCUCUUCGCAUUUUUAACUCUUCAUAUUCAAGUCUUUUCGCAUUCAUAACUUUUCAUAAUUUAAUUUAUGCAAGAUUAAUUUAAUUAUGUGCCAACAAUGCCUCCCUUAAAUUAAACUUGCUUCGAACUCCCAACCUUUCAACAUUUUUCUUGAAGACUUGUCCACUAAGCGGCUUUGUGAAGAUAUCAGCCAUCUGAUAUUCUAUCUUUCAAUAUUCAACUUGAACAUCACCAUUAUUCACUAGUUCCCUCAAGAAGUGAUACUGAAUGCGAAUGUAUUUUGUUCUUCUAUGAAGAACUGGAUCUUUUGUGACUGAAAUAGUAGAACUAUUGUCACAAAACAAAAUCGUUGACUUGCUCUGCUUCUGCUUAAGACUCUCCAAAAUUCCACGUAACCAAAUCAAUUGACAUCCUACAUAAGAUGCAGCGAUAUAUUCAGCUUCUGUAGUCGAAAGCGCCACAACUGAUUGUUUCUUUGAGCUCCAUGAAACUGCACCACUACCAAGGUGGAAAACAUAACCAGAAGUGCUUCUACUAUCAUCAAUGUUAUCCGUAAAACCAAUGAAAUCAACUAAUGUCUUGGCUUUAUAGAAAAUUCCAUAAUCAAUACUUCCCUUCACAUAUCUCAAUAUUCUCUUGGCAGCCUCCCAGUGAUUGGAGUAAGGUUUCUCCACGAAUCUACUCACCAAGCUAACAGCAUACACGAUGUCAGGCCUUGUCGAAGUCAGAUACAUCAACUUUCCAACCAAACUUCUGAAUAUGGUGGAAUUGACAAGCUUUCCUUCAUCCUCUUUAGAUAACUUCAGACCUGUAAUGCAUGGAGUAGAGACUGGAUUCGCAUUGUCCAUCUUGAAUCUUUUUAGAACUUCCUUUGCAUAGCUCUCUUGUGAAAUAAAAAUUCAUUUCUCGGAUUGAUGAACUUCAAUGCCAAGAAAAUGAUGAAGUUCUCCCAAAUCUGUCAUAUGCCAUCAUUGAGUGCUGAAAUUCUUUCAACAUCUUCACAUCAUUUCCUGUGAAAAUAAGAUCAUCAACGUAGAGACUUACAACCAUGAAUCUUCCUUGAGAAUUGCCUUUGAUGUAGAGAGUAUGCUCAUAUGGACAUUUCUGGAAUCCACACUUCUAAAAAUAAGAAUCGAUGAGGCUGUACCAAGCUCGGGGUGAUUGCUUCAACCCGUGCAAAGCUUUCUUCAACUUGUAAACAUUUUCUUCUUCUCCUUUUUUGACAAACCCUGGUGGUUGAUCAACAUAGACUUCUUCUUUGAGAACACCAUUUAAAAACGCAGAUUUUAUGUCCAUUUGGAACAUUUUCCAAUUGUUUUAGGCAGCAAGAGAAAUAAGUAACCGAAAUAUUUCAAGUCUUGAAACUGGAGCAAAUACCUCUGUAAAAUCUUCUCCUUCCUUUUGCUUGUAUCCUUUUGCAACCAGUAUUGCCUUGUACUUGUUGAUAGAUCCAUUUGGAUUCAUCUUUGUCUUGUACACCCAUUUGACUCCAAUUGAAUUCUUGUGUGGUGACAAAUCUGUAAGGUCCCAUGUAUCAUUAUUUUCAAUUGAGAAAAUCUCUUCUGUCAUGGCUUUCCUCCAUAUUUCUUCUUGAUAUGCAUCAUCAAAAGAAAUUGGAUCUUCUCCUACAAAAAACGACAAAUAAUACAACAUCAUUUUGCACAACUUCAUCAGUUACAUUAUAUAACUCUUGGAUGCUUCUCGUUUUUCGAAUCGGGCUGGAUGAAGAAGAAUUUGAUGAAGAACAUGAGGAAGUAGGAGGAUUUUCUGCUUCAGCAUAAUCUUCAGCAUUCUCAAUUACUGCCUCUUCUUCUUCUUCAAGUUCAAAAGGAAAAAUUGGCAAAUUUUUUUUUCAACUUCCAUAUAUUCAAACAUAGAAUUUUCAUCAAACCGAACAUCUCGGCUUAUCACAAUCUUUUUUGUCACCGGAUUGUACAACUUGUAUGCCAUACUUCUUUCACUAUAGCCAAUGAAAAUGCAUUUCUCUGACUUGUUAUCCAACUUGCUUCUCAUUGCAUCUGGAAUAUGAGAGUAAGCAACACUCCCAAAUACUCUAAGAUGACGAACACUAGGCUUUGUACCAUACCACGCCUCAUGUGGUGUGCAAUUCUCCAAGCUUCUUGUUGGUGAUCUAUUGAUAAGAUAAACUGCACAAGAAACAACUUCAACCCAAAAUCUUCUUGAUAACCUCUUCUUCUUAAGAAGACAUCUAGCCAUUUCCAUAAUUGUUCUAUUCUUUCUUUCACACACACCAUUUUGCUGAGGUGUAUGGCGGACUGUCAUUUCAUGCCGGAUGCCACUAUCUCGACAGUAUUUCUCAAAUUCUUUUGAAAAAUAUUCACUUCCAUGAUCUGUCCGCAAGGUGUUAAUUUUCAACCCAGUAAUUAAAUUUCAUCCCAGUAAAGCUUUCCACUUCUGCCUUGAAAUCUUUGAAUCUCUGAAAAGCCUCUGAUUUUUCUUUGACACAAUAUACCCAUAACUUUCUUGAUUAAUCAUCAAUGAAAGAGAUAAAGUAACGAUUACCUCCCAAAGAUGAAACUGUCAUAGGACCAAAAAGAUCCGAGUGAAUAAGUUGCAAUGGUCUUCUUGCUUUCCACGAGGAUUGAGAAGGAAAAGCAAUUUAGUGUUGAUUUCCAAGUUGACAUGCUUCACAAAUGUAACAGCCUGAAUUUGGGUCUAGUCGGAAUAGUGGUUUCGGGACCACAAAUGUAAUAUUUUAAAAAUUUCUACAGUAAGAUAUUAUCCUUGGUACAGUAAAAUAAGGAAAUGAAGUGAUAAAAUAAUAAAAAAAUAAAAAGGGAGAAUUUUGAGUUAUGGCAACAUUGGGAAAUAUAUUAUAACAUGAUAAUUCAAGAAAGGAUUAAAUUGCAAAAGUGCGAAAAGUUUUGUUGCCCAAGAGUAAAUACUUAAAAUUUGAGGGGUUAAAGUGUAAAUACAAAAAAGUUGAAGGACCAAAGGUGUAAGUAUUUUAAGGGUGGAAUGAUCUAGAAACUAAGAAAAAUGGAUGGAUUAGGAUCAAAUUAAAAAAUGUGAAGAAUUUUGAGGGACUAAAUACAAUUUUACCAAAUUGAGUGAUGACUCAAGAAUGGAAUUUUAAAAGAUCAUAAAGAGCAAAAUGGUCAAUUAAUAAGAGAGAGAAAUCUAGAAGAUAAUGAUGAUGUUGGAGAUAUUUUAGAUUAAUUAAAUAAAUAUUAGUUUAUUAAUAUUUUAAUUUAAUUUUUAAAUGUUAUUUUAUUAUUUUAUUAUUAUUUUAUUUAGUAUAUAUAUAUAUAUAUAAUAAAAGGAAGAUGAAGAAUCAUCAUCUUCCCCCAUGCAUUCCAACGUAUGAAGAGAAAAGAAAGAAAGAAACUUUCUUUUCUUUACAAUUUGGUCCUCUAACCAAAAAUCCUCCAUUUUCACUUUGAAAUCAAACAAAUUUCCAUAACCACCAAGAAAGAAAAUUCAUAAAGAGAAUAUGGGGAGCUAGAAUAUCAAGUUAGAUUCAAGAAAUAGAAGCUGGAGGAGAGAGAAAAUCAAGUUAAAGAUUGAAAUCAAUAGCACAAGGUAAGAACAUCAAGAUGUCAAUUUAUUUUUAAGUUUAAUAUUAUUGAAAAAAGCAUGGAAAUAAUGUUAUAGUAGAGUUUUCUUAUAUAUGGUCUUAUGUUCUUGAUAUAUUAGUGAAGAAAAAUAAGUGAAAGUGAUGGGAAAUAUUAUAGAGAAAUGGAGUUAUACACCUAGUAAUCAACAUUUUGAACUAAAAUAGUUUUGGACAGCAACAGUAGGUUAACUUUGAAAAAUCACCAUAAAUUGUGGAAAUCGAAUUAGAAUAUGAACAAGAUGUGUAAUUAAAUAUUAAUGAGUCUACUUUCAUAUAAAAGAAACAUAGAAAGCAAAAGAAUUGUGUAUUUUGAGAUAUUUAAAUUUUAGUGAGAAAGGGUCGGAAUGAUUUUGGAAUCCCCUGUUCUGACUUUGGAAAAUCAUCAAAACUUUGAGAAAAAUAAUUAGAGGCUUAAAUUUAUAUUUUUAAAUCCUUAAUGAGUAUAUUUUCAAUAAAAACAAACGGUAACAUCAUUUGAAUUCUGUAUGAGGAGAUAAUUAAGUUUUAGUGAAGAAGGGUCGGAACUGUCAGACAGCAGAACAGAGAUGAAUUUAGAGAAUAAACUGUACAUAUUGGCUAAACCAAAAAUUCUAAAAAUUUUAUGGUAAGAGGAUAUGUGAGUCUAGUUUCAGAUAAAAUUAACUGAUCUCAAUUUGGAGUUCUUUAGCUCAAGAUAUAAAUAAUUUAGUGACUAUGACUCAAGUGGACAGCUUUAAAAGAAUAUAAAUAAAUAUGAAAUUAUAGAUAAUGUUACAUAUAAGUAUGUUAUAUAUAUAUUAAGGAUGCGGAAUGGAGAGGAGGAGGAGGAAAAUAUGUGAUUAUUCAACUAGCAUGAGUUUUUAUUAAAAAUGAUCAAUUUAUAUGUUUCAGGGACUAAAUUGAACAAAUAUGAAAAUUUAAGAGUAAAUUUGUAAAAAUGUCAAAAAGUGACCAAAUUGCAUGAAAUGAAUUGUUUUAUCAUUUAAAUUAGUAAAUUGAAUGAAAUAUUAAUUUAGAUCAAGAUUGGGUGGAAAUUCGAGAAAAAUAGAAAAUUUCCAAAAUGUCCCUAUAUUUUGGUAUUUCUGCAAUUUAGCCUGGUAAGUUCGUAUGAACUAUAUUUUGUUUAAUUUCAAUUGAAGUGAAUGCUAUUCGGUAAUGAAUAUUAUACAUAUAUGUGUGUUUUAUAUUGGAACUGAAUUAUUAUUGGUAAUAUACAUAAUUAUUAGAUGCUUUGAAAUGAUUAUCGGAAGCUUGUUGGAGAUAUAUCACAUUACCUAUUGGUUUUAUCGGUAGUUUUGGAUGACUUGAUUCUGGUUAUAAAUGUAUAAGUUAAAUUGGUUAACGUUAGCUCAUAAAUGUUUUGAUUUUGAUCGGUUAUAAAUAUGAAUGUUAGAUAAAAAUGAAAUGCUUGAAAAUUAAUGAGUAAACUCCGGUAAUACCUCGUACCCUAUUUCGGUGUCGAAUACGGGUAAGGGGUGUUACAACAAUCAUCAUCAAGCCGAUCGAUUUUUGGUAAACCUUUGACCAUCAUCUUUCUUGAAAGCAUCUCGAAAUUUUCAUAGUUCAGAUGUCCAUAUCUAUCAUGCCAUAACUUUGAAACUCCUUUAUGAGCACCAAUAAAGCAAGACAUAUUCUGAUUUUGAAGGGUGAGAGAGAAAAAAUUAUUUGAUGCCACUACAACUCUAGCAACAACUUGAUUUUUCCUUGACAAAUAGCAAGCCAUGUCACGGAAAUAAAUAUCAUAUCCCUUCUUCAAAAGAUGCCCAACGCUAAGCAGGUUAUUUUUAAGACCAGGAACAAAAUAAACUUCAGACAUUUUCUCUACCCUUCAUUGCUUUGGUUUGAACUCCAACUCACCAACACCGCUAACUUUGUAAGCUUUGCCAUCUCCUACUUUUACUUCUCCACAAUUAGAUUCAAAGAACUUCGAAAAUAAAUUUUUGUUACUUGUCAUAUGCUUGCUAGCACCACUGUCUAUGUACCAGACAUCACCAAUCUCUCCACUAUGAGACACGAGCAACAAAGUUUCUUGCUUUUGUUCUUGAUUAUUUUGUACUGUAUUAGCUUUAUUUUUCUCUUCUUUCUUGUACCAGCAUUCACUUGCCAAAUGACGAGGUUUGCGACAAUGAUAACAUUCAAAAUAGCCACGACCUCUUCCUCUUUAAUUUCCACGUCCACGUCCUCUUUGUGAUCCUCUAAAAUUCUGACUUUGGUUGGCUUAUUUCCAUCCAUUUUCCAUGCUUGCAUCUUCACCUCUUUCACGAGCAUUUGAGCCUCUUCCCCUAAAAAUUAUUCCUCUUCCACGAGCACGAUCUCUCCCUCUUUGAUUUUUAAAAUCUCCCUUCUUCUCAUUUAGAGACAACUUUGACUGGAGUGCUUGAUCUAGAUCUACUUUCUUCUUGUUGUUGUUUAAUCUUUCUUCAUGGGCUUGCAACGAACCUGUGAGUUCAUCAAUAGUCAUUGUACUCAAAUCCUUUGAUUCUUCAAUGGCUACUACAAUGUGGUCAAAUCUGGAAUCUAAAGAACGGAGGAUUUUCUCAACACCACGAAUAUCAUCCAUAGUUUCACCAUUUCUUUUUAAUUGGUUGACUAUGGACAAAACCCGUGAACAGUAAUCAGAAAUUGAUUCCGACUCUAUUUUUUGCAAUCUUUCAAACUCCCCUCGAAGAGUUUGCAACUGAACUCUUUUCACCUUUUCAUCUCAUUUGAAUGAAUUUUGUAAAAACUCCCAUGCUUGUUUUGCCGUAGUGGCACAAGCAAUUUUUUCCCAAGCCGCUUCAUAUGAUUGAACUCCUUGAUAUAUCCAAAAUAAGGCUUGCUGAUUUUUUUUCUUUGAUUUUCUUAGACUCUCUUUUUGAACUUGUAUUAAUCAUUCUUCCUCUUCAGCCUCAACUUCAUUAUAACAUUUUUCAACAAUCUCCCAAACUUCUAGAGAUCCAAGAAGAGCCUUCAUUUGGAUACUCCAUUUGCCAUAAUUUUCUGUGGUUAAUUGGGGAACAGAAGAAAGAGGAAUAAAAUUAUUCAUUUCAAUGAACAAGGCUCUGAUACCAAUUUGUAGAAGUUUGAUUAAUAUUUGGAGAAAUAAAACAAAGAAAGUGAUAAAGAAUAUAAUGGAGAAGAGAAACAAAUUUUGUAUGGAAGAGAAGAAAAAUUUUUUCUAAUAAACUUUUUAUUUCACUCACACUAUGUAUUCUUCAUCACAUAUAACUCUUUAUAUAGGAGUUGUAAGUGACUAUUCAUCUAUAUCACUAAAUGCUAAGAGUUGUAACUAUUCAUUUACAUAACUUAAAUACUAUAGAAGUUAUGACUAUUCAUGCAUGUGUGUAACUUUUCAUCUUCAAGUCUCUUCGCAUUAUUAACUCUUCAUAUUCAAGUCUUUUCACAUUCAUAACUUCUCAUAAUUUAAUUUAUGCAAGAUUAAUUUAAUUAUUUGCCAACAGGUACAAUACUUUUGUUUGUCUUUUGUGUUUUGGAAAAUGCAUGCGAAAUCCAUGCAUAUGCAAACAUUUUGUACAAGAAAUUUGCAUAUCAGUACUGCAUAAAAGAGUGACUCUGGAGUUAUGGAAUUAUUUGAUAAUAUUGAAUACGAAAUAAAUAAAAAAUAAAAGAGUGGGUGAUUAAUCCGAAUUGGGAGGAGGACAGGUGUUGUGAUGGACAAGGGCAGCUAGGUAUUCCUUUUCAAACGAAGAAGAUAAAAGAUAAAACAUAUAGUGUGGUGGUCGAAGAUAAAUGAUUACAAUAACACUAAUAUGAUCUGCUUUGCCUUCGUCCACCACCUCAUCUUUAUGUUUUUAUCUUGGUUGUGACUCACGUUGGCCUUAGUCUGAAAGUGCUGUCAGUCCUACUAUCGUGGUUCUGUUGCCUACCUUUUGAUUUCUAUAUCUCAGGGUCUAUUUGAAUGUGCCGUGGGGAUAAAGUUAGAAAAUUGCUUUUAAGGGUUGAAGUUAAAUUAUGUAUCUUUAUAGUUUUUAGAGGUGUUGAAUCAAAAUUUUAUUAUUUUUUGAAUAAACUGUAAAUUUACAAUGUUUAACUUAUAAUUUUAUUGAUUUAGAGAGAUUUAAAUAAUAGUUUUCCAUUUUAGGGGUGUAAGGAGUAAUAUUCAUUUUAAGGGUCUAAAGAGUAAUUUUCAUUUUAAGGGGACUACGAUUAGAUUUGAUUAUGAGUUAGGUCACCUGUCCAAGCUCGAUGGCCCUAUUGAAAAGUGAGGGAGUUUGGAAAAUAACAUAGGCCUGAAAAAUAAGCUUGGACAAAAAAUAAUACCCAUUUUCUAAAUGGGCCGAGCCUCGAGUAAGAUAUUUUUGCUUGGGCCCAACUCGACCAAAUUUGCUUAAAAUUUUUUCCUUACUACUGUUAACUGUUUUUUUGCUAUUAUAUUAUUACUAUUUUAUUGUUAUGUUUGGAUAUUGUAUAAUUAUUGUUUAUUGUUAAUUUUGCUACUAUUUUAGAUGCAUUUGCUUGCUAAGUUGCAACUAUCUUAAUGUUAUAUAAGUAUAAAGACUUUUUUUUAAUGUAUUUUCAAUUUGUUGGGAAAUAUUUAUUUUAAUAUUUUUAAUAUAUUUGAUGUAUUAUAUUUUUUAAAAUAAAAAAUAAUAAAAAUAAUUUAAUAGAGGCGGGCCGGGCCAAGCUUAGGUUUGGCAUUGUUUUAUUUGAGUCAGGCUUGAACAAAAAUUUAGGCCUAUUUUCGGGUCAGGUAGGGCCAGAACCUAGAAAACGAGCCUAAAAUUCAAUCCAAUUGAGCUCAUGAUCAAGUCUAGCCACAACCCCUACUGCUCUGGUCAAUGCCUUUGGAGACAAUAUUAAUUCUUUUAAGAUUGAAAAUAGCGAUGGCGAUGAAAUUAAUUACUAUAGCAAUGAGAUUAGUUAUUAUAGCGAUGAUAUUAAAAAUAGUGAUGAGAUGUGUGUUAGGAUUCAAACACGACAAUAAUAGAAAAAUAGAUAAUAAAUUUGUAAUAAGAAAGCAAAAUAACCGUUAUAGACAUUAAACUAAAGUAGUUUUCAGCUUCUUCUCAUUGCACUCUUCUUCUCAAUUCUUUUCCAUUUUUUUGGUCUUUCUUAGUUUUGUUUAAUUUGUUGCUACCAAGGUAAUGCUCUGACAUCUUUUGUUUUUCUUAAUUUUUCGUUAUUCUUUCCUCUUGUUCUCUGGAAACCAAUUUGCUCUCAUCUGUUGGGUGUUGUUUAUCUAUUAUUUUAUUUUAUCUAUUUGUCGCUCCUAACGACUUUUUUGUCACGGUUCUGGUCCGUGUCGCUUCUAGUCUUUAAUUCGGUUGUUGGUCUUCGCGAUUUGGAGUUUUGGGAUUGUGGUAAGGUUGCAUGGGAGGUCUGUGAAGCGCGUAAUUCUUUGUCGAUGAACAGUGUCGUAGGAAUUGUUUCUUCUUUAGGUGCUGAAAUGGCUGUUGUGGGUCGACAUCGGAAAGCAGUAAGUUGUGUAACGAAAAAAUUGAAAAAUUCGAAAAACAGCGAUCGAAGAAAGUUGAAAAAGUGCACUAUCGAUGCCACAUGACCGUGUGGUAGGCCGUGUGUGACACACGAUCAUGUGACAGGCCGUGUGCAAGUUCGUUUGGCCACACGGUCUGGGCCAAUUGGGCUGUGUGGGCCACACGGGUAUAAACGAGGCCGUGUGGGCCCAUUUUUUGGAAAUUCCAUCUUGGCCCAAUUUGAUCGGUAGAAGGUAAUUAGCCUCUCCGUAGGGUCCGUACCGCUUAAAUAGGACUUGAAAACAAGGUAUCUAUAAAUAUGGUUCUAUGUUGUGUUAAAUGUAUAUGUAUUAUAAAUUUGUAUGAGCUAAUACUAUUAGUUCUGAAGGUAUGUCUUGAUUCGUUAUGUCUGUAUAAGCGUCUAUAUUGUACGAUCAUGUUAAUUUGUAUUUUUGAAUUUGAUAUAACCAUGCAUGUGAUUUCAUGGUAAAACUUAUGUGUUUCUAUAAGAUUAAAUAAAUCUAUUCUGUAAAGCUUGGACUUUCAUGUCUUUUGUUUCUGUUAUUGUACGUCAGCAUGUUCUACAUGCUCACCAUUUUGAUUCUGUACAUACAUGCCUUGACACAUUGCAUGGAAUUUUGAUAAUGUUAAAGGAGAAAGAUUCAGUAUUGGUAGUUUAAUGAUCUGCGUAAUUCAAUGGCUUGAUCACAUAUAUUUGAUCUGGCAAUUUAACUGCAUAUUGCUAAGACAUUGUUACCGGGCAACCCGGGGUGGCGGGUCAUUAUUGAUGGGCAACCCGUGAUGACUUAACUGGUGUGUUUUUGGAUGGAAGAGUUCUAGGGAACUCUAUUUUGGUGUGUAGCGGAGUUGGGUAGGACGUUUUCUAAAAAAAUCCGCAUUAUGAUUUUCUAAAAUAUCGAAUUGGCAUAAUCAUACAUAUUCAAUUAUGUUUGAUUAAUUGUUAUAAAAUUUGCUGUGAUUUUCUUAUUUGUUUAUUGUAUUGUAUGUGACCUUAGCUUGAGUUUUAGUUAGACACUAAACUUAAUAGCUCAACCAUUUGUUUUUUUUUUUGUACAUUUCAACACAUUUCAAGUAAUCGGUAAGUUAGAGUAGGACGGCGUGCAGGUGCUCGGAUGGUUUUAUCAGUUAUUUCUAAAAAAUUGGCAAUUUUCGUAAUUGUUUAUUUUGAACUUUGGGGCUGUAAUUUUUUUUUGGGUUUUUGUUUUGGUUUCUAUUUAAUUCAUCGAUGUUGAUAUUUGCGAACAUAAAAUUGCUAAAUCUUGCUGGGUUAACAAUUUAAAAUUUUGAUUUCCAAAAUUAAAUCUCUGAAAAUUUUCCAUUGUAAACUAACUCCUAAAGAGUUUUUCUAUAUAAAAAACAAAUGGUUUUAAUGAGUGUUUGCCUUAAACUAGAAAUGAUUUGUCAAAAUAGAUAUUAUCAAAACACACGAUUUGAAAUUCAAAAUUCUGGGUUUUAAGUGAGUUUUUUCCGAACUUAAGUUUUUCUAAACAUUCAUGAAAGUUUUGCCAAAGUGUAUAUUUUCGAAAUGCAUUUAGUUUGAUCGAAGCAAAGGCUUUUGAACAAGUUGAAUGUAAUUUCUCAACAUCCGGUCAUAACUUUUAGGCCAAGUUUAGGAUCUUACAGUUGGAUUGUUAAAUUAAUAAUUAUACAAAAAUAUAUUAAAGCGUAUAAAAUUACUUUGGUUUCAUACUAGUGUAAGCAGACCCCUCCCCUUUUAAUAUAUAAAAUUAAUUAUAUCUUUUAAAUUAAUGUAUUUAAUAUUAUUUAUAAAUAUAUUUCUUUAUACACCUAACUAAUGUAAAUAAAAUACUAAAUAUGAUUUGAAGUAAUGAAAUAAAAUAAACACUAUAAAUAAAAAUAUUAAAAUUUUGAAAAAUAUGGAAAAAAAAUUAAUGUAAAUAUCUCCAAUCACUCUGUGAAUGCCUCGAGCUUCUAGACCUGUGCACUCCAAACCUCCUCAUCUAAUGAAUCCACUAUGGACACCUUGUUCAUUGGUUCAAAGUGGUUGAUGUUGGUUUCCAUAUAUCCUUUGUCUCCGAUAAGAAAGGAUUUCUUCCAAAUUGAAAAUCUUGUAUUGAAGCAUGUCAUUUUACCAUAAGCCAUUCAUCGUAGAAUCGAACUCGUUUAACUUUGAAAUCACUCUCCUAAUGCAUGUUAUUUGGAAAGUUGUUGAUGAAGAUUGUUGAACACCCUUAGUUUUUCCACUCCAUUUUUCUAAUGUCCGCCCCCCUUGGUUAUAACAAUCCGGAACCUCCCUUAAUCUAACUUAUUAUAAAAUUAAAAAAAAAACUCUAAAUAAGACAAUAAAAGGUUUUAUUUAUUUAUUUAUACCACAUUAUAGCAUGAUGAACAUUACAAAUGGGCAUGAAUAAAUAGACAUAUACUAGUGGCAUAAGCUUGAAGACCUGACUUACCAAUACACUAGAAUUUCACACAUAACAAACGCACGCUAUAUACGGAGAUGCAUGGGAAAACAGCGGUAGGUAGAUAUAAGUCAACUGGCUGUCAAAUUUAUUCUAGUAGUAGUGCAAAACAUAUAUAGCACAUUAUUAUUGCUGACACUGACAACCUGAGCACCAGCAUUUUGAUCAGAAAUUUAAGCAAAGCCACCCAAGAAAGCUGCGUUUGUAUUACCAUCACUGCAAUAAAGGCAAGGGUUCUGCUCAAUCCAUUGUCCAUUAAAAUCUUGGCAGCCUCAGCCAUAAGUGUCUGUUGCUUAUUCCAGCACCCAUGUGCUGAUCGAUUAUGCUAAUUACCACUGCAAGGGUGAACGCCCCAAUGGCUAUAUUCUCCAAAACUAGGUCAUAUGAUGUCUCAUUGGCUUCACACCCACUUAAUAAAAUCCCUUCAUCCUCCUCCAGUGGAUCCAACACCAUUAACCCAUCUACGUAGUGAGGAAUGAGGAUGGAAUUUGAGAUUCACAUCUUUCCCGAAGAUUCCAAAAAUCUUUUGACCAACAUUUGCUGCGUCGUGUAGGAUUCCUGCUGCUGUAUCUAUCGCACUAUGCAUAAUAUCAAAAGGAAAACUCUUAGCCUGAGCCUUAGAAGGUUUAGGCUUGUCGGUAUUUACUGUUGUCGUCAUAUGCUCACCACCAAAUUGUUCUUUCUCUUUUUGAAUGAGACCACCACUGUGGCACGAAUCUGAUAGGAUUGUGAAGCUUGCUCCUUCUGGUAGCCGGUUAACUAAACGCCUGAAGUCCACGUCUGCAGAAACCAUGUAUAUAUAUAGGGUAUGAAUAUAUG
This 46230-nucleotide long non-coding RNA is filed under the name Gossypium barbadense (sea-island cotton). Its description in RNAcentral is "long non-coding RNA (GBAR_LNC017421)". The record is from RNAcentral. Lineage: Eukaryota; Viridiplantae; Streptophyta; Magnoliopsida; Malvales; Malvaceae.